Molecule: long non-coding RNA, 46055 nt
Filed under: Hordeum vulgare
Lineage: Eukaryota; Viridiplantae; Streptophyta; Magnoliopsida; Poales; Poaceae
Description: long non-coding RNA (HVUL_LNC014259)
Source: RNAcentral
CCAGACGGUCUCCAAUCGCGACGAAAUUCGACAGGCGGCCUAGCUAUAUCUAAUCGCGACCACGUGCCAAGUUUCACCUCGAUCAGAGAGAGUUUUAAACGUGCUUUUAAAACAGGGUUUCGACGGUGCCGCGGGCGCGUGCGUGUGCGGUCGGACUCAGAACGGACGACGACGAGAACCGGCAACUACUAACAAAUGCAAGUUUUGAAUAUUGGAGGCAGCGGAGAUGCCGAUGCAAUGCUGAUGAUGCGCAUGAUGCGAUGAUGAUGCGUCAGAAUAAAAUAGACACACGACGAAAACGGAAAGGAAAGGGAAUCUUCUGGAACGUCGGCAUCGGGCUGUCACACGGGGGCCUCGGGCCGACCGAGAGAUGGAGGCGGCGCCGGCGCACGGGGAACGGCGGGCGAGGCCACGGCGCGCGACGGGGAGGCGCNNNNNNNNNNNNNNNNNNNNNNNNNNNNNNNNNNNNNNNNNNNNNNNNNNNNNNNNNNNNNNNNNNNNNNNNNNNNNNNNNNNNNNNNNNNNNNNNNNNNGGGGUUAUGUCUGACGUAGGUAGGUGUUCAGGAUCAUUCAUUUGAUCAACAGUAGUUCACGUCCGUUAUGCGUAGAUCUUCCGCCUCUUAUUUCUUGUACUCGUAAGUUUAGCCACCAGAUAUAUGCUUAGCCGCUGCUGCAACCUCACCACUUAACCAUACCUCACCCAGUAAGCUUUGCUAGUCUUGAUAGCCUUUGGAAAUGAGAUUGCUGAGUCUCUUGUGGCUCACAGAUUACUACAACACCAGUUGCAGGUACAUGUAAAGAUUACUUGACGCGAGCGCGUAGAUUGUUCAUUUGGAGUUGCUUCUUCUUCUUCUUCUUCUUCUUCUUCUUCUUCUUCAUCGGUCUAGGAUGGGUUCCAGGCCGGCAGCCUGGGAUAGCAAGGAUGGACGUCGUUNNNNNNNNNNUGGACCCUGCUCUUUCUUGAGAGAAGCCACUAGUGAACACUACGGCCCCCGGGUCUAUUCACACCUAUCGUUUCCACCUUCACUUUUACUUUGCUUGUUUACUUUGUUGCUUUCAGUUCUCACUUUGCAAACAAUCUAUAAGGGAUUGACAACCCCUUCAUAGCGUUGGGUGCAAGCUCUUUGUGUUUGUGCAGGUACUUGUGACUUGACGAGAUCUUCCAUUGGUUCGAUACCUUGGUUCUCAAAACUGAUGGAAAUACUUACCGCCGUUGUGCUACAUCACCCUUUCCUCUUCAAGGGAACACCAACGCAAGACUCCAAGGCCGCGGGGAAAUCCUUUGCAUAUUUGCCAAGGAAGUCCCUAAAGGCGUAGCCGUAGCAGCAGGAUUCCUGGCGCCCUACCAGGGAAGGUCUAUUGUCGCAGUAGGAGAAGGAUUUCUGGCACCGUUGCCGGGGAACGUCUGUUGUCGCAGUAGCAACGGGCUCGGGGUGGCGCGGGCGACGACGACGACAGGCUCGGGGAGACGAUGACGGCGAUGGGCUCGGGGGCGACGGCGACAGCGAUGGGCUCGGGGCGACAACGGGCUCGGGGCGACGGCGACGACGACGACGACGGCGGCGGCGACGGGCUCGGGGGCGACGACGACGAUGAGGAGAGAAGAGAACGGGGAAAUGUGAGUUGGUGGAAAUUUUGAUAAGUCCCGCCAUAUAUGCAAACACCUUUGGUUCGGGUUGGUGGCUGAAACCGGGACCAAUGCCACCCUUUCGUUCCGGUUGGAGCCACCAACAGGGACUAACGGUCAAUUUUUAGCAGCCCAAAAGGGCGGGAAGAAGAGACCUUUAGUACCGGUUGGUGGCUCCAACCGUGACGAAAGGAUGGUAUUGGUCCCGAUUUGAGCCACCAACUGGGUCCAAAGUGUGGUGCUGCCCGGGGCCAAACUUUUAGUCCCACCUCGCUAGCCGAGAGAGCUCGCGAGUGGUUUAUAAGCGUUGUUGCGCACACUGUGUCGAUCUCCUCUCAACUUCAGGUUUCUGGGCCUAAUCUGUCACUGCAUGUGGGCCUAUUGGGCCUUGUGCGGGCCUGAAUCCUGGCCCAACCAGCUGGUUGGGUUUCUAGUCGUAUUCAAGCCGCGGUGGCCCAGUACGUGGCAUUUAAAAAAAAUCUUGCUUUUUUGUUUUGUUUUUUACUUUAUUUAUUUUAUGUUGUUCAAAAGCACUACAAAUUAACUCUGAAAAGGUUGAAAGUUGGCAUGGUAUCACCAUUUCACCUACAUAGCAUGUGCUAAAAAGUUGAGAGGGUUAAGACAAAAACUGGAUGCACUUCGUGUACAAAACGGAGAGUCUCUUUCUAAGUAUGAGGGUUUCAUACGAAAACUCAUCUGUUACAAAGGGAUUUCAUUUUUUGAACUUAUUUGAACUCGAGACUUUUUGUGUAUCCAAAAUGCACCAUUCAAAGCCACCUCAUUAAUUUUCAACAAUUUUUGACUUCAUUUGGUAUUUUUCAUGCAUUUACUGAUUUUUUUGAGGCAAAUGACCAUGAAAUUUAAAAGUACUACAAAUGAACUCUGAAAAGGUUGACAGUUGGCAUCAUCAUUUCACCCACAUAGCAUGUGCUAAAAAGUUGAGAGGGUUAUGGCAAAAACUGGAUGCACUUCGUGUACAAAUCGGACAAUCUCUUUCAAAGUAUCAUGGUUUCAUACGAAAACUCAUCUGUUACAAAAGGCAUUUCAUUUCUUCACUUUUUCUUCGCUUGUGUUCUUUGCUUAUUGCGUCGUAACCAUGGAUAAUCUUCAUCGUUUAACACGGUGCUUGGAUCAGCCUUGACUUUGAAGGAACGAAUUUCAUGAAACUUUUCAUAAGCUUCAGACAUGUGUGUCUUGCCCUCUGAUGACCCACAAGUAUAGGGGAUCAAUCGUAGUCCUUUCGAUAAGUAAGAGUGUCGAACCCAACGAGGAGCAGAAGGAUCUAACAAGUGGUUUUCAGCAAGGUAAAAUCUGCAAGCACUGAAAUUAUCGGUAACAAGUGAUUGUGUGGUGAGAUGAUUCGUAGCAAGCAACAAGUAACAAAAGUAGCAACUGUGCAGCACAGUGGCCCAAUCCCUUUUGUAGCAAGGGACAAGCCUGGACAAAGUCUUAUAGGAGGAAAAAUGCUUCCGAGGACACACGGGAAUGUCUGUCAUGCUAGUUUUCACCAUGUUCAUAUGAUUCACGUUCGUUACUUUGAUAGUUUGAUAUGUGGCUCGACCGGCGCUUGGGUACUGCCCUUACUUGGACAAGCAUCCCACUUAUGAUUAACCCCUCUCGCAAGCAUCCGCAACUACGAAAGAAGAAUUAAGACAAAGUCUAACCAUAGCAUUAAACUAGUGGAUCCAAAUCAGCCCCUUACGAAGCAACGCAUACACUAGGGUUUAAGCUUCUGUCACUCUAGCAACCCAUCAUCUACUUACUACUUCCCAAUGCCUUCCUCUAGGCCCAAGUAAUGGUGAAGUGUUAUGUAGUCAACGUUCACAUAACACCACUAAAGGAAAAACAACAUAGAACACAUCAAAUUACCGAACGAAUACCAAAUUCACAUGACUAUUAUUAGCAUGACUUAUCCCAUGUCCUCAGGAACAAAAGUAACUAAUCACAAAGCAUAAUCAUAUUCAUGACCAAAGAGAUAAUGAGUAGCAUCAAGGAUCUGAACAUAAACUCUUCCACCAAGUAAUCCAACUAGCAUCAACUACAAAGAGUAAUUAACACCACUAGCAACCUUACAAGUACCAAUCGGAGUCGCGAGACGGAGAUUGGUUACAAGAGAUGAACUAGGGUUUGGAGAUGAGAUGGUGCUGAUGAAGAUGUUGAUGGUGACAAGUCCCCUUCGAUGAGAGGAGUGUUGGUGAUGAUGAUGGAGACGAUUUCCCCCUCCGGGAGGGAAGUUUCCCCGGCAGGAUCAUCUUGUCGGAGCUCUAGAUUGGUUUUGCUCAAGUUCCACCUCGUGGCGGCGGCGAAUCCACGAAAAAGCCUCCUCCUGUUUUUUUUCGGACGAAACCCUUCAUAUAGUAGAAGAGGGGGCAGAGGGUCAACUGGGUGCCCACAAGCCCCCUAGGCGCGGCCAGGGGGGUGGCCGCGCCUAGCAGGCUUGUAGCCACGUGCUGGCGCCCCUCUGGCACUUCUUCGGCCCAGUAUUUUUUAUAAUUCCCGAAAAAAAUCCUCGUUGAUUUUUACGGCGUUUGGAGUUGCGCAGAAUAGGUAUCUCAAACUUGCUCCUUUUUCAGACCAGAAUUCCAGCUACCGACAUUCUCCCUCUUCAUCUAAACCUUGCAAAAUAAGAGAGAAAAGGCAUAAGUAUUGUACCGUGAAGUGAAAUAACAGCCCAAGAAGCGAUAAAUAUCAACAUGAAAACAUGAUGCAAAAUGGACGUAUCACCCUCCAAUCCCACGAUGUCUCUUUUUCCUGAAAGAACUAUGUGGCGCUUUGGCUCAUCGUAUGAUGUAUCCGCUGCCUUAUAUUUUAUUUUUCUCGGUUUGGUAGACAUGUCCUUCACAUAGAAAACCUACGCCACAUCAUUGUCUAGGAGGAAUGGUUCGUUUUUGUACCCAACAUCACCAGGGUCAUCUCUUUUGAUCUUAUACCAUAAUGCACCGCAUACAGGGCAUGUGUUCAAAUCCUCGUAUGCAUCGCGGUAGAGGAUGCAGUAGGGCAUGCAUGUAUCUUCUGCACCUCCAAUCCUAGAGGGCAUAGAACCUUCUUUGCUUCGUACGUACUGCCGGGAAAUUCGUUAUCCUUUGGAAGCUUCUUCUUCAUUAUUUUCAGUAGCGAACUAAAUUCCUUGUCAGAUACAUCAUUGUGUGCCUUCCAUUGCAGCAAUUCCAGUGUGGUACCGAGCUUUGUGUUGUCAUAUUCGCAAUUUGGGUACAACCCUUUUUUGUGAUCCUCUAACAUGUGAUCGAACUUCAACUUUUCCUUUUCACUUUGGCAUUCUCUAUGUGCAUCAACAAUGACCUGACGAAGAUCAUCAUCGGGCACAUCGUCUGGUUCCUCUUGAUCUUUAGCUUCCUUCAUUGUAGCAUCACCGUAUUCGGGGAGGGGGGUAGUUUUCAUCAUCCUCUUCUUCUAUGUUGUCUUCCAUCAUAACCCCUCUUUCUCCAUGCUUGGUCCAAACAUUAUAGUGUGGCAUAAAACCCUUCUGAAGUAGGUGGAAGUAAAGUGUUUUCUAGUCGAAGAAAGCGUUCGUAUUCCCACAGACAGUACAUGGAUAAUGCAUAAAACCAUUCUGCUAGUUUGCCUCAGCCGCUUCGAGAAAAUUAUGCAGGCCCUUAAUAUACUCGGAGGUGCGUCGGUCACCGUACAUCCAUUGUCGGUUCAUCUGCGUGCGUUAUAUAAUAAAGUGUAUUAAAAACCGUUACAACAUAUCAUGAAUAGAGAAGUGACCAAAUUAAUGGAAAUUCAUCAUCACAUUAAAUCCAAAGUACAGUAUUGACCAAAAUAAAUACAUAACGUUCAUACAUAGUUCUCAUUAUUGAACAACAUAUAGCUCUCUAGAGCAUCUAAUUAUAACAUACAUUGAAACUAUAAAAUUUAAAUGCAACAAUAAAUGUGAUCAUAACCGCAACUAAGGUACCAAUUGAUCCAACGGCAUAAUGAUACCAAGCCUCAGUAUAAAUGGCAUAUUUUCUAAUCUUUCUAAUCUUCAAGCGCAUUGCAUCCAUAUUGAUCUUGAUCGACGACAUCGACAACAUCCAACUCCAAUAUCAUCUUCUCCUCUUCAACUCUUUGUAAUUUUUCUGUCAAGUAAUUGUUUUCUUUUUCAACCAAAUUUAACUUCUCGGCAAGAAUUUCUAUGUCGGUUGGAAUUUCCGGUUCACAUACCUUCUAGAUUAAAAAAUAUAUGUCAGGUUGGUCGGCAUAAUUGUCAUAAACACUAAAUAAAAAAAUAGUUAUAAAAGAUUUUAUAUAUAUAUAUAUAUACCACAUCGGAAUCAUAGACAGGACGAGGGUUGACGGAGGCGGAUACCAAAACCAUCGCACUAUGUAAUAACAAACAAUAAUAAAAGUAAGAAAAUUACAUAAGUAUCUAUAUAAAUCAUACAAGUAAUGACUUUUUUCUUUCAGAAAGAAGAUAAGAAGGUGCCGACGCCGAGAUGGGCGCGGGCGAUCGACGGCGGUGAGGACGGGGACGGGACAUGACAGACUACCAAAGCUACAUAAAACUUGAGGAAAAUGGAGCUUGGACAAGGCGAUUCGAGAGGAGAAAGCUUAAGUGUGGCUCGGGCAUUUCAUUGAACACCUCAUGUGUAUAGGAGGUGAGCUAGAGCACCACAAAGCUCUCCCACGGAUGGCCAAAAAAUAGAGCAGUGCACUGCUCUGCUCGGGGGCAGGGGUAUAUAUAGGCCAACCAUUGGUCCCGAUUUGUGGCUGGAACCGAGACUAAAGUUCAACAUUUGGUCCCGGUUCUAGCCACAAACCGGUACUAAUGGUUGUGGGCUAGGAGCGAGGCACAUUGGUCCUGGUUCAUGUCUGGAACCGGGACCAAAGGGGUCAUACGAACCGGGACCAAUGUCCCACGAGGCACGACCAGCGCCCUGGCCUCACGAACCGGGACCGAUGCCCCCAUGGGUCCCGGUUCGUGAGUGAACCGGGACUAAUGGGAUUUCAUCAAGUGGACCAAAGACCUCUUUGCUACUAGUGUCACCCCCUCUAGUUAACCAUAUCGAUCCCUUCAAUUGGUAUGAGAGCCUUGUCUCUUUACUAAGGGUUUCACCACCCAAAGAGUAUGCCUGAUGACGAGGACCGGGUUGGGGAGGUGCCCGAGGGAGCUCCUGCAAACUCGGUCACCCGAGAGGAAUUAAAUGAGGUCAUGUCCACAUGUAAAUCCUAAAAGGCUAUCGAAGUCAAGAACAUGCUUAAGGAUUUCCCUGAUAUUUACAAAUCGCCUACCGACCCGUUGUUGGUGGCUAAUCCCACAACUUCGGAUACGGGGGGCCAGUUCUAAAAAGAAAAAUGCUAGUAGUGAAAAAGAUAAAUCACCUCAAGGAAUGAGUGGGGCAAAUGCCUUUGCCUCAGUUACUCAUCCCAUGGUCUAUGGAGGACCGGUCCACCCACCGCAUAUUAUUAACCUCGGUCCUCCACCUAAGCUUGUUAAGAAUGAUUUUGCUAAUUGGGUUUUUCGUAUCAAGUCUCAUUUGAACCAUAGCUCAACACAACUUUGGAUAACAAUUGAGCUGGGGUACUACCUGCAUGAUCCAAGAAACCUCACGCCAAGAGAAGAGGCCGACAAUCAGCUCAAUCCCUUCGCCUUGUUCAUUCUUCAAGGAGUGGUACCUGUUGAAGACCUUCCUCACUUCGUCCCUUCAUUCGUGCCAAAGAUUAUAGGAAGCACAUCAUCUACAUGUACAAGGGAAGCUCUAGCAUUCAACGGUACAACUAUGAAGUUGUUCUUGAUGAGGCUGAUGAAUUUGCUAUGAUCGACGAUGAGUACCCUCGUGAACUAUAUCGAAGAGUUACAACUCUUGUUGUUGCUCUUCGGGAUCAUGGAAGCAAAGAUGUGGAUGCCACUUGGAUUAAACAUAAGUUUCUCAAUGCCAUAAUGCCUUUCAACAAGUCCAUGUCCUCCGUCAUUCGUCAAAGGCCGGACUUUCAUUCCUUGUCCUCAAGUGAUGUGCUAGAUGAGUUUAUUGCCAUGAACAUAUUGAACAAGACCACCGACACUGCUCUAGCCCGGGUUCAACGGUCAAGCCAACCUUGCUUUGAAGGCCAAGGCUGCUGUCACGCCCAAGAUGCGACCCUAUCCUCAAUUUGACACGGGGGCCUCAUCAGGGAUAGAAGCGCAUCUCGUCGUGUCGCAAGAACGGAUAUCGUUACAAGUACAUGUACUGAAAAGAAGAGAUAUAUAGAGAGNNNNNNNNNNNNNNNNNNNNNNNNNNNNNNNNNNNNNNNNNNNNNNNNNNNNNNNNNNNNNNNNNNNNNNNNNNNNNNNNNNNNNNNNNNNNNNNNNNNNCCUUCCACCUUUUACCAAGUAUAUAGGUGCAUUAAAUUAAAUAGCAUUAAUAGGGUGAUAUAACAAGGAACCCAUGUUAUCGCAUGGAAGCAAUGCCCCUGCAACUAGCAACGCUAACAACAGGGUUAGGCAAGCAGUAACAUAGCCAAUCAGUGGUUUGCUAGGUCGAACAGGUUGAAGGUAAUCAUGGCAUUGUUGAGAGGCUGAUAUUUAACAGGUGGUAGGCAACGAGACAUCAACGAUAGAAGCGAUAAACUAGCAUGGCAAUGAUAGUAAUGGUAUCUAGGGNNNNNNNNNNCGCAACUAGCAACGCUAACAACAGGGUUAAGCAAGCAGUAACAUAGCCAAUAAGUGGUUUGCUAGGUCGAACAGGUUGAAGGUAAUCAUGGCGUUGUUGAGAGGCUGAUAUUUAACAGGUGGUAGGCAACGAGACAUCAAUGAUAGAAGCGAUAAACUAGCAUGGCAAUGAUAGUAAUGGUAUCUAGGGAAAUGAUCAUCUUGCCUGAGAUCCCGCUUGGAAGAAGAACAACCCGGUGGAGUCGUCAAACCAUCGUGGUCGAACGGGUCCUCACAUUCCGACACGCUUGCGGAACUCUAUCGGAACGGAGCAANNNNNNNNNNUCGGUGGAGUCGGCAAACCAUCGUGGUAGAACAGGUCCUCACAUUCCGACACGCUUGCGGAACUCUAUCGGAACGAAGCAAACCGAAAACAACAUCAACACGGAUAUUCACCACACGAUGCACAACAUGAUGCACAGCCUACUAUGAUGCAUGAACAGGUUAAAAAGCAAGGCAUGGCAUGGCAAUUCGCCUCACACAAACUCUACACAUUAAGUGAAGCUCGAUAUGCAACGGGUUGCAUAUCGACGAAACUCCACGUAUAAUUAUUAGUUCACUCCCGUUAAUUUACCGGCAAGGUUAAAUGUGAUUUAACAUGGCAAGGGGUGAAGCGACGGUUUUACAUGGCAUCCUAGUAGGGUAACACGCGAGACAUAGACCGAAGCUACGGCANNNNNNNNNNUUUUAACAUGGCAAGGGAUGAAGCGACGGUUCUACGUGGCAUCCUAGUAGGGUAACACGCGAGACAUAGACCGAAGCUACGGCACAAGAGACAUGCAACACAAGAAUAUAUAUGCCAUGAAUGCCUCAUGCAUGCAAGAACAACAUCACAGCAAGAAGGGAAAGAAGCAUAUGUCGCCAUGGCGAGCGAGAGGGAACCAUGGUGGCGAAACGGAAACGAUGCCACGGCAACAUUCCUAUCACGACAAUUCGUCGAGAUACAGUGCCAACGAAUAGGGAGCGCGUGCGAGAACGGUAAAUAAAGAUGGGGUGAUCCCGGUUACCGGGUUCCCACGUGUCGGGGCUCAACGAGAGGAACACGUGCAAUGACAACAUAAGGCGCAAACAUAAUCAUCUCAUACAUCACAUGGAUACGGUUCACGCCACGUCUCAUCGGUAUACCUUCGAAGCGUGCGAAUCGGAAGGGUUCGGGUCAUUGAAGGAGAUCAACGAUCAUCGUGGUCGUGUGGAAGUAGUCGUACACGCGCCGGUAGUUGAAGUAGUGGUUCACGGUCUCGUCGACGGUAGUCAUACNNNNNNNNNNUCGAUCUUGCCAACGACCCACGACGGCGGGGAUGGUGCACGCGGUCUUCGCGAUGUUCCAACAGGCAACCGGGCAAGGCAANNNNNNNNNNAUGCGAAUCGAAGGGGUUCGGGUCGUUGAAGGAGAUCAACGAUCGUCGUGGUCGUCGUGGAAGUAGUCGUACACGUGCCGGUAGUUGAAGUAGUGGUUCACGGUCUCGUCGACGGUAGUCAUACUCUUGGCGUCGACAGACGGUCUUCGGCGUCGGUGGUCGUUCGCGAAUCCGAAGAUGUUCGGGGGUCAUCGGGGACGUCGUGGUACUCGNNNNNNNNNNNNNNNNNNNNNNNNNNNNNNNNNNNNNNNNNNNNNNNNNNNNNNNNNNNNNNNNNNNNCAGCAAGUGGCGACGGCAAGCGGCAGAACAAGCAAUAGCUAGCACCUAAGCAACUAACAACAGUAUCUAGCAGCAUCAAGUAAGCAGCAGCUAGCACAACAACAAGGCAAGCAGGAACUAGCUCGGCAGCAGCUAUGGCACCACAACAGCAACACAACCGGGCAACCCAAGCAGCAAUUUAGGAAUGGCAAGCGAAGCAGCAGAUCAGCGGCAGCUAAGCAAAGGCAGCAACGGCAAAUAGCAAGCGACACACGGCGACACAAGGGCCUCGGGCCAGCAGCAGCAAAGCUACGAUAGCAGCUAUCUAGCAGCAGCAAGGAAGCAACAACAUACAACAAAAAUAGCACGCAACACAUCUGCGGCUACACCACCAGCUGCCUACGACAGCAAAACCAAACGCAGCAGGAACAACAAGAGCUUCGGCAGGGCAACAGCAACACGAGAGGCCAUGGCACAACGGCGUUGGCGGGGGCCUCGGGCCGGCCGAGAGAUGGAGGCGGCGCCAGCGCACGGGGAACGGCGGGCGAGGCCACGGCGCGCGACGGGGAGGCGCNNNNNNNNNNCUAAGCAGCAGCUAGCACAACAACAAGGCAAGCAGCAACUAGCUCGGCAGCAGCUAUGUCACCACGACAGCAACACAACCGGGCAACCCAAGCAGCAAUUUAGCAACGGCAAGCGAAGCAGCAAAUCAGCGGCAGCUAAGCAAAGGCAGCAACGGCAAACAGCAAGUGGCACACGCAACACUGGGGCCUCGGGCCAGCAGCAGCAAAGCUACGAUAGCAGUUAUCUAGCAGCAGCAAGGAAGCAACAACAUACAACAAAAAUGGCACGCAACACAUCUGCAGCAACACCACCAGCAGCCUACGACAGCAAAACCAAACGCAGCAGCAACAGCAAGAGCUUAGGCAGGGCAACAGCAACACGAGAGGCCAUGGCACACCGGCGCUGGCGGGGUGUCACACCCAAGAUGCAACCCUAUCCUCAAUUUGGCACGAAGGCCUCGUCAGGGAUAGAAGCGCAUCUCGUCGUGUCGCAAGAAUGAAUAUCGUUACAAGUACAUGUACUGAAAAGAUGAGAUAUAUAUAUAGGAUUGGCUUCACUCGCCACAAGCUACAUCAGAGUCACAUCAGUACAUUACAUAACAUCAAGAGUAAGAGCAGGGUCCGACUACGGACGAAAAUAAACGACAAAAGAAGAAUGACGUCCAUCCUUGCUAUCCCAGGCUGUCGGCCUAGAACCCAUCCUAGAUCGAUGAUGAAGAAGAAGAAGAAGAAGCAACUCCAAAUGAUCAAUCAACGUGCUCGCGUCAAGUACCCUUUACCUGUACCUGCAACUGGUGUUGUAGUGAUCUGUGAGCCACAGGGGACUCAGCAAUCUCAUUUCCAAAGGUAUCAANNNNNNNNNNCAUGGUUAAGUGGUGAGGUUGCAGCAGCGGCUAAGCAUAUAUUUGGUGGCUAAACUUACGAGUACAAGAAAUGAGAGGGGGAAGAUCUACGUAUAGCGGACGUGAACUACGGAUGAUCAAAUGAAUGAUCCUGAACACCUACCUACGUCAGACAUAACCCCACCGUGUCCUCGAUCGGAAAAGGAACUCACGAAAGAGACAAUCACGGUUACGCACACAGUUGGCAAGUUUUAAUUAAGUUAACUUCAAGUUAUCUAGAACCAGUGUUAAACAAAGUAUCCACGUUGCCACAUAACCGCGGGCACGACUUUCCGAAAGAUUUAACCCUGCAGGGGUGCUCCAACUAGUCCAUCACAAAUUGCCACAAGCCGCAUAGAAAUCCUCAAUCACGAAGCUCGCGAUCUCGUCGGAUUCCCUAAUGGAAAAACCUCAACUCUGGGAUUACCCAAAUCAUCACUUGAAUCCCGAUGCAGAAGAUAUCUCGUCAAAGGUAAAACUAAUCUAGCAAGGCCGCCCGGCGUGUCGACGAACCAGAUAGGAGCCGCGUAUCUCGUUCUCAGGACACGACGGAUAAGCACAGCGUACGGUGGCCUGAUAGAAAUCUCCCGAGUUACCCCGGGUUGGCCCUGCAAACGGCUAUAGUUUUGGACCAGCACCAACAACACUGGCCCCCCUGUAUUAUGUAGAAUUUCUCCUCGGGUAGCGCUAACUCCCUAUGCAAAUCAAUUUAACAGAAUUAUUAUGUUGGGCAAAAGUAGUACCAAUGUUGGGCCUUGCCAGACCAGCUUUAAUCUAAAACGAAUCAUCAAGGGGGUCCCCAUAACAACCCCGAUCGUGUUAGGAGCGCUCGUUUAUGGAACAUAACGCCAGUAGCCGGAACUAAGGGGGCAAAGGUGGAACAAAACACCAGGCUAGAAAGGCCGAGCCUUCCACCUUUUACCAAGUAUAUAGGUGCAUUAAAUUAAAUAGCAUUAAGAUAGUGAUAUGACAAGGAACCCAUGUAAUCACAUGGAAGCGACUGCACCUACAACUAGCAACGCUAACACAGGGUUAAGCAAGCGGUAACAUAGCCAAUCAGUGGUUUGCUAGGUCGAACAGGUUGAAGGUUAUCAUGGCAUUGUUGAGAGGCUGAUAUUUAACAUGUGGUAGGCAACGAGNNNNNNNNNNUCGAUAGAAACGGUAAUACUAGCAUGGCAAUGAUAGUAAUGGUAUCUGAGGAAAUGAUCAUCUUUCCUGAGAUCCUGCUUGGAAGAAGAAUGCCUCCGUGAAGCAGACGAACCGACGUAGUCGAACGGGUCCUCACAAUCCGGCAUGUUGCGGAACUCUAUCGAGACGAAGCAAACCGGAAACACAAAUCAACACACGAAAUUCACCACACGAUGCACUACACAUAUGAUGCAUGAGCUACUGAAUACAUGCAAGUCACGGCAUGACAAAUCACACAAUCAAACACUACACAUUAAGUGAAGUUCAAUAUGCACGAGUUGCAUAUUGACGAAACUCCACGUUAAUUAUUUAGUUCACUCCCGGUUAUCUACACGGUAAUAAUAAUGUUGUCAAACAUGCAAGAGGUGAAGCGGAAAUUAAACUACCUACCUAGACAUUUUAAAUGAGGUCGGAAAUGACAUAUAGCACCUCCGAAACGACCUCACAUGGCAAUUUACAAUUCUGUCCAGAUCUGAAUUAACACCUUUAAUUAGUUGUUAAACAGCAAAACAAAUAGGUUCACGUGAUUCUACGCGUCAAGGCAAGCAACCUACACGUAAAGAACAUUUCCAACGGAGCUACGGAUCAAAAGAUACAAGCACCGCAAGAUAUGAUGGCAUGAAUGCAAUAUGCAUGCAACGACGGCUACGAGCAUUUCAACACAUACAAACAGCAAGAGAAAAUGAAACUACACGAGAUUCUAAGCAAGUUACAUGUACGACAUGAUCAAAUCGGAGCUACGGUUUAAAAACUACGAGCAAAACAAGAAAUGACUACAAACUGCCAAAGUCAACCACAUAGCAUUUUCUACGCCCCACAACUACGGCUACACAACUCCGAUAAACUCAAGCAAGGCAUGGCAUGGAAGAGGGAAAGAAGCACUACUACAAACAACUAACAACAACUAGCAUGGCAGCAAGGAGCACUAGGAAAAGAAGUCACAGAAUGACAUCUCACGCACUAUUUCAGAAUUAGUGAAAAUUACACCUCGUGAAAGUGCAGUUUUCAGCCUGAAGGUAUAUUGACAGCAGCAAAAUCCUAAGCUACAGGUCUCCAAAUGACAUGAAACUUCACAGCAUGCUAGAGAAAUACAAGGGGUACAACUAACUCCAUUGGACCAACCUCAAAAGAGCUACAGAUCACAAGAUGCAAGCAAGACAAGACAGCAACAAAAUGAUAACAGAUUCCAGACUUAGAAAUAUUUCAGCACGUCUAAAACAACACUAUUUCUAGCAACUUGAGGGCUAUCGAAACACACCUAAACAUGCAUUUCUAUUGCAACCAAAAUUACCAGCGGCUAAACAAAACAUAUAAGAAGAACUUCCUAGUUGACAACUAAUUCCAACGGGGCACGGAAUAAAUCCUACGAAUUAAACAAAAGGGCAUCACGGCAAAAUAUCGCUUGAACUAACUUACUCAAAAGCUAAAACUAAUUGCGCAGAAAAAUCCAUGGGAUUUUUCUACCCCGGAAACACAUAAAAUACGUGGGGUUUGCAACACAAAAUAAUGCCGCACAUAAAUGCGAGAGAGACACCUAUAUACGGAAAAAUAAACUACCGGAAAACCUUACACGCAAAAAAUACGAGUGACCGCUCUAAAAUACAUGGAAUAAUGGCCCCUAAAACAUGGACAUAUAUCCUACGUCAUACGAACAACCCGGACACGCGUGAAAAAUAACUACCGAACGGAACCUAUUGUAACAGCACGCAAAACAAAGCAUUAGGCACCCUAAACGGCGUUAAACAAUUAUGCAUGUUUCAAAUUCGUAUUCUACGCGCGAAACUACCACAAAACCAUGUAUUACACGUCUCGACCCGAUUUACGAAUAUAAAACUACGGGCGUUUGAAAUAAAACUUACUUAUCUGGAAUUUAUAUUAAUUCCUAAAUCAAGCUAAAUCACCAAUGGGCCGAACGGGGUGCAAACAGAUAAGGUGUGCAGGGGGGCGAGGGAUAGCUUACCUUGGCCACUUGGGCCUGGCCGGUUGGAUGCGCUGGGACCUGGCCCGGUCGGUGCACGGCAGGGGAGGCUGAGCUGGGCCGGGAGACGAGGCCGGCCCACGCGGAGGAGCAGCCCCACGCGACGAGCAGGGACGCUGCCCGUUCUUCUCCUGCUCGCUCCCGAGCUCAACCAUGGCGGCGGCGAGGGCUUGGCAUCGAGCAUCCCUGCAGGUCCUCCGGCGACACGAGGUAGGCGACCGGCGGCGGCGCACUUGUGCUUGAGUCGGCAGGCGGCGGAUCCGGCGCGGGGAACGAGGAGCAGCAACAAGGCAACCGACAACGGGGCAGGGCGGUUCCGGCGAGGCGAGCGGCUGCUGGGCACAGGGGCGGCGCGCUUGGGAGCCGGCGCGGGAUCCAGGCGGCGGGCUGGCAAGGCAAGGGCCGGCGACGGCUGCUAGCCGGCGUGGCGGCGCAGGUGAGGNNNNNNNNNNNNNNNNNNNNNNNNNNNNNNNNNNNNNNNNNNNNNNNNNNNNNNNNNNNNNNNNNNNNNNNNNNNNNNNNNNNNNNNNNNNNNNNNNNNNCCAUGGCAACAUCAGCUACAACCGACUACAAAAUUACAGUCAACAGCAGCAGCAGCAGGCCAACAGCAGCACAAGCGGCGACCAGGAGCUCAGCAAGGGAAGCAAGCAUGCGGGCAGGGGGCCUCCGGCGAGAGGAACGGCGAGCUCGGCGGGGCACCUGCGGGGAGGACCUCGGGGAACGGCGAGGACGAGGCUAGGGCGCGAGGGGAGGACCUCGGGGCCUUGCCGGGAACGGCGACCGCAGGCGGAAGGGGAGCUACGGCGGGUCGAGGGGCCUGGCACGGGCGCUCCUCGCAGCAAGCGGCAGGUGGCGGCGCGUUCGGGUCGAGGGGGUGAGCACCGGCGACGGGAGGCACGGGAUGGAGCAGGCGGCGCUGGGCGGCGACCACGGGAGGCCAGGGGCGGCGCAGGAGACGGUGGAGCAGCGCGGCGGCGCAGCAAGGGAGGAGCGGCGCGGGGCAAGAGCAGAUGCGAGGGGAUUGGGCGAGGAGAGGAACAGAGGCCAGAGAGGAUCGGGGACUACGUGGGUUUCUGGGCAGGUGCGGCGUGGUCGGGAGGAGAGCGAGGCUGGGGUGAUCGUUAGGGCACAUGGAGGAGGCGUGGGCCUCGGCCGGCUGGGCCUCUCCCUCUCCCAAUUUUUUUUUUUAACUCUUGAGAUAGAAAUUUUUAAAGAAAGAAAGGCUUAUAACAAAAAUAAAAUAUGAUAAAUGUCUUUGACCCCUUUUGAAAAAAAUAUAUUCCCAACUAUAAGAAAUAGUUGGGCAUUUUUAAAAGAAAAAAUACAAACCCUUUUGAAGAAUUAAAAUUGAAACCCUUUUUUUAAAGAAUAAAAUAAACCUCCUUUGUUUAAAGAAUAAAAUAAAAGCGCUUUAAAACAGAGAAAAAAAUGAUACGGAUUUAAAAUAAAACAAAAGGAGGAAAUAAAGAANNNNNNNNNNNNNNNNNNNNNNNNNNNNNNNNNNNNNNNNNNNNNNNNNNNNNNNNNNNNNNNNNNNNNNNNNNNNNNNNNNNNNNNNNNNNNNNNNNNNGUGUUAAACAAAGUUUCCACGUUGCCACAUAACCGCGGGCAUGGCUUUUCGAAAAGAUUUAACCCUGCAGGGUGCUCCAACUAGUCGAUCACAAAUUACCACAAGCCGCAUAGAAAUCCUCAAUCAUGAAGCUCGCGAUCUCGUCGGAUUCCCUAGUGGAAAACCUCAACUUUGAGAUUACCCAAAGCAUCACCGGAAUCCCGAUGCACAAGAUAUCUCGUCAAAGGUAAAACUAAUCCAGCAAGGCCGCCCGACGUGUUGGCGAUCCCGAUAGGAGCCGCGUAUCUCGUUCUCAGGACACGACGGAUAAGCACAGCGUACGGUGGCCUGAUAGAAAUCUCCCGAGUUGCCCCGGGUUGGCCCCGCAAACGGCUCUAGUUUUGGACCAGCACCAACAUCACUGGCCCCCUGUAUUAUGUAGAAUUACUCCUCGGGUGGCGCUAACUCCCUAUGCAUUUCAAUAUUAUCAAGUUAUUAUGUUGGGCNNNNNNNNNNAGAAUUACUCCUCGGAUAGCGCUAACUCCCUAUGCAUUUCAAUAUUAUCAAGUUAUUAUGUUGGGCAAAUGUAGAACCAAUGUUGGGCCUUGCCAGUCCAGCUUUAAUCUAAAACGAAUUAUCAAGGGGGUCCCCAUAACAACNNNNNNNNNNNNNNNNNNNNNNNNNNNNNNNNNNNNNNNNNNNNNNNNNNNNNNNNNNNNNNNNNNNNNNNNNNNNNNNNNNNNNNNNNNNNNNNNNNNNCCUUCCACCUUUUACCAAGUAUAUAGGUGCAUUAAAUUAAAUAGCAUUUAAUAUGGUGAUAUAACAAGGAACCCAUGUUUUCACAUGGAAGCAACUGCACCUGCAACUAGCAACGCUAACACGGGGUUAAGCAAGCGGUAACAUAGCCAAUCAAUGGUUUGCUAGGUUGAACAGGUUGAAGGUUUCAUGGCAUUGUUGAGAGGCUGAUAUUUAACAUGUGGUAGGCAACGAGACAUAACGACAGAAACGAUAAAAACUAGCAUGGCAAUGAUAGUAAUGGUAUCUGGGGAAAUGGUCAUCUUGCCUGAGAUCCCGCUUCGAAGAAGAAUGCCUCCGUGAAGAAGACGAACCAACGUAGUCGAAUGGGUCCUCACAUUCCGACACGCUUGCGGAACUCUAGCGAGACGGAGCAAACCGGAAAUAAACAUCAACACAAAUAUUCACCACAACAAAAGCAAGACAUGAUGCAUACCCUAAUAUGAUGCAUGAUCAGUUCANNNNNNNNNNACCGCUUGGAAGAAGAAUGCCUCCAUGAAGCAGACGAACCAACAUAGUCGAACGGGUCCUCACAUUCCGACACGCUUGCGGAACUCUAUCGAGACGGAGCAAACCGAAAACAAACAUCAACACAGAUAUUCACGACAGCAAAAGCAAGACAUGAUGCAUACCCUAAUAUGAUGCAUGAUCAGUUCANNNNNNNNNNAAGCUCGAUAUGCAACGGGUUGCAUAUCGACGAAACUCCAUGUUUAAUUAUUUAAUUCACUCCCGAUUAUUUAACACGCAAUAUUAAAUAUUGUUAACAUGGCAAGGGAUGAAGCGACGGUUCUACAUGUCAUCCUAGUCGGUUUAACUCGCGGAACAUAGAACGAGCUACGUCANNNNNNNNNNAUAUGCAAGGGAUGGCAUGGCAAAUCACCUCACGCAAACACUACACAUUAAAUGUUGCAUAUCGACGAAACUCCAUGUUUAAUUAUUUAAUUCACUCCCGAUUAUUUAACACGCAAUAUUAAAUGUUGUUAACAUGGCAAGGGGUGAAGCGACGGUUCUACGUGUCAUCCUAGUCGGUUUAACUCGCGGAACAUAGAACGAGCUACGGCACAAGAACAUGCAACACAGAAUAUAUGCCAUGAAUGCGUCAUGCAUGCGAGUUUCAACAGGGCAAGAAGGGAAAGAAACAGGUGUCGCCACGGCGAGCGAGAGGGAACCAUGGCGUCAAAUCGGAAACGAUGCCACGGCAAUGUUCCUAUCCCGAUAACUCGUCGAGAUAUCGUGCCAAUGUAUACAAGCGUGUGCGGAAACGGUAAAUAAAGAUGGGGUGAUCCGGGAUCUCGGGUUCCCAUGUGUCGAGGCACGACGAAAGAAGACAGCGGCCAACGGGCAACAUACGGUGCAUACAUACAUAUAUUCAUACAUCACUUGUACACGGUACACGACAACGUCUCAACGCUAUACCUUCGGAGCAUGCACAUCGGAGCAGUUCGAUUCGGAGAAGGAGACCAACGGUCGUCGUGAAAGUAGUUGUCGUCGUGCAAGUAGUCGUUCCCGCAUCGGUAGUUGAAGUAGUGGUACACGGUCUUCGGCGACGGUCACGGUCUUCACCUCAGUAGUCGAACACGGGUCUUCGGCGACGUCGAGGAAGACGAACUCGUUUUUGGGGUCGUCGUGGACGUCGUGGUGCUCGGCGAAUUAGUCGAUGACUCACGGCAGGCGGGGAUGGCAGGCGACACAACAGCAUCAGGUAGCAACAACGGCGGACGNNNNNNNNNNAGCAAGCUACGGUGGAAUAGCAAUAGCAGCAACUAAGCAUCUAGCAACAACAUGCAUCGGUGUCGGCAAACAACGGCAAUCAGCAGCUAAGCCACGGCCAUCAACAGCAGCAAGCAGGGCAGACAAACUGCAAGGCAUUGGCUACAACAACUAAUAGCACUAAGCCGGCAGCAACUAACAAUGCGGCAGGCAGGCAAGCAAGAGGAGCAACAGCCAACACGGCAACUGACAACACAACAGCNNNNNNNNNNNNNNNNNNNNNNNNNNNNNNNNNNNNNNNNNNNNNNNNNNNNNNNNNNNNNNNNNNNNNNNNNNNNNNNNNNNNNNNNNNNNNNNNNNNNGGCGCAGGGAGUUGGAGGCGGGCAGCGGAAGGACGGCAGCCGUGCGUAGGGGUGGGCGCAGCGGCCAGCUGCUGGCGCGGGGACGGCCAGGGACGAAAGAGGCCGCCGGGGAGGCGCGGGGCUCCGGGCAGGCGCGGCCAUGGCGGCACGCGGUGGCUCGAGGCGGGGUUGGCGAGGAGAGGCGAGAGGGGAUCGAGCAUGGGGGACGACGAGAGGCUCGGGAGGAGAGGAUGACGGCGCAGGGGGGAAGCGACGGGGAAACGAGGGCGCCAGGGCAGGGGGUCUGUUGGGCCGGCCAGCUGGGCCUUGCAGGCUCCUUCUCCCCUGGUUUUUUUUCCUUUAAGGAAAAAAACAGGAAGCUUAAACAAAAGAANNNNNNNNNNCGUCGGGAAGGCGCGGGGCUCCGGGCAGGCGCGGCCAUGGCGGCACGCGGUGGCUGGAGGCGGGGUUGGCUAGGAGAGGCGAGAGGGGAUCGAGCACGGGGGAGGACGAGAGGCUCGGGAGGAGAGGAUGACGGCGCACGGGGGGAAGCGACGGGGAAACGAGGGAGCUAGGGCAGGGGGUCUGUUGGGCCGGCCAGCUGGGCCUUGGAGGCUUCUUCUCCAUUGGUUUUUUUUCCUUUAAGGAAAAAAACAGGAAGCUUAAACAAAAGAAAAAUGUUUAAAAGUAAAAUAAAAAAAUAAAGGCCUUUGACUUCUUAAAACCAAAAUUAUGCCCCAACUACAAAAAUAGAUUGGGCCCCUUUUAACAAAUAAAACUAAAAUCUUUUAAGAAUAAAAUUAAACCCUCUUUUACAAAAGAAUAAAAAUAAAACCUUUUGACAAAAGAUUAAAAUCAAACCCCUUUGAAGAAUUAAAUAAAACCUCUUUAUUUAAAGGAUAAAAUAAAAGCUCUUUAAAAGAGAAAAUAAAAUGAGACGGUUUUAAAAUAAAACAAAAGGAGAAUUAAACUAAAACCCAAGGGUUACCCCCACAUUUAAUAAAAGGACCCUUUUAAUGAAAAGAAGGAGACGAACCCUUUUUAAAUAUAGGUUUUCAAACGGGAAAUCUUAGCAACCGCAAAAAUAAAUAAGAGAGGAGAGGAGGGGAGUAAAGGUUUUAGGUCCUCGGUGCAAAAGGGUUUAGCGGUGGCUCUCACGCACGCAUACUCAUCGCGCCAACAAACGACGUCACACUCACAAAGCACUAACACCUAACAACACGGCAACAAGCAACACCGACAAAACAGAGUUGACAUGAUGCCAUGCAUGAUGCGAUGAUGCAAACUACAUGACGAUGCAACGAACAAAAUAAAAUAGCCACACGACGGAAACGGAAUAAAGGGGGGGAAUCUUCUCGAACGUCGGCAUCGGGCUGUCACAACUCUCCUACACUACAAGAGGAUCUCGCCCCGAGAUCCAAGAAUGAAAGGGGGAGAGGAUGAGAAAGAACAAGAGGUAAAACUUAGUCGCUUCUUUGACAAACGAGUGAAACCAACGAUCCUUGAAGGUUGCAAAGAGAUGAGGAAUGAUAUGAGAAAGAAGCAAGAAUUCAUGGAAAAUUUCGGCAGCACUUCGGUAGGAAAAUGGGACAAAAAAUUCGAUAAGAAGAGAGAGUUAGACAAUAUUCACAACAAACAAGUAAAUAGAACAAGGGAACACCAUGAACUUGAUAGAACAACAUAAUAGACCCAAAAGAGCAACAUCACAAUGCCUCCGGAACAAGAGAAUAUGAACUAGCUCAAGCAGAAGAAGAGAAUGAAGAAAAGAAUGACAACUANNNNNNNNNNGAAGAGCCUCCGGCCAUGGAAUUGACGUAGUAGUUAGAAAACCAACAACAAAAAAAACAAGAUAGUAGUGGGCUUAUGAAAAUCAUCUCACAUUUAUGAGGUGACAACCACCCACUAAAAGAAAUCAAAACUUCUAACACCAAGAGGAUACGCUGAGAACUUGGAUUAAUGACAAGCACCAUGAUAGCACAGUCCAUAGGAAAAGCUUUAGGUGAAAUCCAAACCAAGAUAGCUCAAUGAAGAAAUCAUGGGUUGCAAAUAUCUCAUGAUCAUAGAAUUGGUGGAUUAAUUAUCUCAUUCCUCAAAGGAAAUCUCUUCGAAACUCCUACACUAACAAGAAUGCUAUAAUACCACCUCAAAGGAUAAAGGAAUAACAAAUGCACUUGGAAAUGCAAGAGAAGAAAAUUUGAGGUUCUCCAAUAAGAAUUUUGAAGAACACUUUGAGAAUGAAUUGAUAUCACGAUGAACCACCAUGAAGGACCUCCGUAUACAAAUGAAUGAUGCAAAGAUAUGAAGGAAGAAAGAAUAAGAUUAUGACCUUGCCAAGAUUUAAAUGAAGCUUCACAAAGAGAUACUAAAAGAACUUGGAACUCCCGAAAAGAAAGAUAAGCACCUGAGAAAAGAAUCGAUAUCAAGAGCCACUCCAGAAGAAGAAUUCAGAUUACUAUGAAUAAGAAUAAGAAUUAUGUUAUGCUUAUCCUUCAUCAAGUUUAAUUGAUGACAGGCAACGGAUUUAGCGUAGCACUUAUUCCUCUUGGAAGAAACUUGAAGAGACAGAGAGAUAAGCACCACUUGAAGCAUAAUUGAAGGAAGCACCGGUAAGAAUUCACAAUUGAAUGGGAAAACCAAGAAUUAAUGGAGAUACAUGAGAAUGAUGAGAUCAUAAGCCACCUGAGAGAAAACUUGAACAAGGCACUGGAUAAACGAGAGACAAACGAAGAGACAACAAUGGAGAAGAAUUAGAGAACGAAAGCUGAGAACGAAGAAGUCUUCUCAAAUGAUGUCCUUUGGAGGAUCGAGAAUGAAAACAACUCAGAAAUGCACCUGAUAGCGAGAAAGGAAUACACAUGAUUGACAACAAUUAAGAUGAUGGCACCAAGCUGAAAUGAUGAAUCUCCAAGAGAAUGAACCAAGAUUGAGAGAAACACUCCUUCGGUCCUGAAAGAAGAGAAUGAUGAGAAGAACACCACCAAGAAUACCGAGACACUCCGGAAUAAGGAAGAAUGAAAGGUUGAGCCAAAUAUGAGAAUUAACUCAAAUAGAUCUUGGAGGAAAAUAUGACUGAUGGAAAUCAUACUUACGUCAUAGUUGAAAAGAAUUAAUGAUCUCCGAGAAAAGAUUAAAAGAGCCAGGAAAGAUCCUGGGAAAGAACCUGUGGGUUAUGGGCCCACUCAAAGAAAUCACCGUUAGAAAAGAUUGCUUAGAAGAGAGAUAUUGCACCGGUAUGAAUAGAACUAGAUGAGGUUGAGAACCUCGAAAUAAUUAAAAGAUUGGAAACAAGAACUUCUAAGAUGGCUUCAACACUCCGGAAAGAAAAGAGAGGAAUGCAUAACAAGAAGACUGACAAGAAUUUCCAACAUGGAAAGAAUUACAAGGAUGAAUGGAUAAGAUGACAUGGACAACUAAAUUGAAUUCACCGGAAAAAAUAACAAGACUCAAUAAGGAUGAACAUGAAGCUCCUGAGAAUCUUCACAAUGAAACACCGGAUAGGACCCGGAAGAAAAGAUAGCGGGAGCAACAAUGAAAUGAAAAUUCUUGGAUGAAAAUUGAAUCACUGAAGAAAAGGGCGAGAGGGUGGGGAAAAACAAAGACAACUUGGGCUAGAUGAGAUGAACUCCGGAAUAAAAUGAGAGAAUGAUCUUGCAAAAAAAUUAAAGAGGAUUGAACUCACUGAAGAGAAGCACACCGGUUAAAAAGGAAUUAACAUGACGACUCCGGUUGACAAGAAUUGAUAAGACAAUUGAUUGAGCAAUGAAUUUGCAUCCUCACAUAAAAAUAUGAGAACACCUCUAGAAAGAUCUGAAAUCACCACUUGACAUUGAAGCAACACGAAUUACCAUAUUCCACAAAAACAAAAGGUGUGGCUUAUGAAACAAGCCAGAACAAACUCAUGAGAAAGAUUCCGUCCGAUAUUUUCGUGGACAGGAUCGCACGGGCUCGAUUUACAGUAGCCAUCAAGUGUAAGGCAGUGCACCUGACAUACGAAGCGUCCCCGAGUCGUAGCAAGCUACAAGGACUCUUUAAGACACAACGUGUACCGCUGUAAGUCGACCGUGAACAAACGAUCCACUAGAUGUCGAACCCCAACCUAACAUCAUGCAUUUGUUGGAAGAUUGUCCUAUAAGAAACUACUUGAAUUCCCACCUAUGAAUUCCCAAAAUAUCUGGUCAUGCAAUCUGGUACACGGAUACAAGGAGUAAUAUCACAGAACUCCUAUACUAACCCAUCACCUGUAUCACAUCCGUCAACACACAACCAGAAUCUCGGCCCUUCAUCUACAACAGACCCUCGUGAUCACAACGAUACAAAGUAUGGCAGUACUCCCGAACAAUCUGCACCAGUACUGGGGACAUCGGGGUUAUCUCGCCACUACUAGUAUUGGAGCAAUUACGAACAUCCUUCGUCCUGAGAUACUAAGAAAUCUGAAUGAUAACGAUGUGCACAAGAAUCCCCUGGAGCUCAACUCCCCGAAAGAAAAUCAAGUCAGACAGGAGGCACCAAGACAGAACUCCGUCACAUCGGCAUCAUAUAGAUNNNNNNNNNNAAGCAAUUACGAACAUCCUUCGUACUAAGAUACUAAGAAAUCUGAAUGAUAACGAUGUGCUCAAGAAUCCCCUGGAGCUCAACUCCCCUGAGACUUAAAGCAGAUAGAAGGCACCAAGACAGAACUCCGUCACAUCGGCAUCAUAUAGAUCUCAAAAAUAUCCGCAUGAUCCUAAAUUUUUUUGGAGUGAAAAGAGGAGUAGAGUAAAUUAUUACGUCAAGAUUCCUCACCAGAGCAUAGAAGAGGAGAAAAAAGAAUCCUACUCUCCGAUAUAUAACUAGACUCAAAGUAUUUUAACUAGACUCGACUCGGCCAAGUUCGAUCAAUCAAGGGGGCUCCUAGGUCGGUCCUUGCUCUGAUACCAACUUGUCACGCCCAAGAUGCGAUCCUAUCCUCAAUUUGACACGGGGGCCUCGUCAGGGAUAGAAGCGCAUCUCGUCGUGUCGCAAGAAUGGANNNNNNNNNNCAGUUUUUUUACUAGACUCGACUCGGCCAAGUUCGAUCAAUCAAGGGGCUCCUAGGUCGGUACUGCUCUGAUACCAACUUGUCACGCCCAAGAUGCGACCCUAUCCUCAAUUUGGCAUGAGGGCCUCGUCAGGGAUAGAAGCGCAUCUCGUCGUGUCGCAAGAAUGGAUAUCGUUACAAGUACAUGUACUGAAAAGAAGAGAUAUAUAGAGAGAGUUGGCUUACACUAGCCACAAGCUACAUCAGAGUCACAACAGUACAUUACAUAAUCAUCAAGAGUAAGAGCAGGGUCCGACUACGGACGAAAACAAACGACAAAAGAAGAACGACGUCCAUCCUUGCUAUCCCAGGCUGCCAGCCUAGAACCCAUCCUAGAUCGAUGAUGAAGAAGAAGAAGAAGCAACUCCAAAUGAACAAUCAACGCNNNNNNNNNNUUGCCGGCCUGGAACCCAUCCUAGAUCGAUGAAGAAGAAAAAGAAGAAGCAACUCCAAAUGAACAAUCAACGCACUCGCGUCAAGUGCCCUCUACCUGUACCUGCAACUGGUGUUGUAGUAAUCUGUGAGCCACAGGGGACUCAGCANNNNNNNNNNAUUGGCUUACACUCGCCACAAGCUACAUCAGAGUCACAUCGGUACAUUACAUCAUCAUCCAGAGUAAGAGCAGGGUCCGACUACGGACGAAAACAAACGACAAAAGAANNNNNNNNNNGGGGGACUCAGCAAUCUCAUUUCCAAAGAUAUCGACACUAGCAAAGCUUACUGGGUGAGGUAUAGUUAAGUGGUGAGGUUGCAGCAGCGGCUAAGCAUAUAUUUGGUGGCUAAACUUACGAGUACAAGAAAUAAGAGGGGGAAGAUCUACGCAUAACGAACGUGAACUACUGUUGAUCAAAUGAAUGAUCCUGAACACCUACCUACGNNNNNNNNNNCAAGUGCCCUCUACCUAUACCUGCAACUGGUGUUGUAGUAAUCUGUGAGCCACAGGGAACUCAGCAAUCUCAUUUCCAAAGGUAUCAAGACUAGCAAAGCUUAAAGGGUGAGACAUGGUUAAGUGGUGAGGUUGCAGCAACGACUAAGCAUAUAUUUGGUGGCUAAACUUAUGAGUACAAGAGAUAAGAGGGGGAAGAUCUACGCAUGACGGACGUGACUACUGAUGAUCAAAUGAAUGAUCCUGAACACCUACCCACGUCAGACAUAACCCCACCGUGUCCUCGAUCGGAGAAACAACUCUCGAAAGAGACAAUCACGGUUACGCACACAGUUGGCAUGUUUUAAUUAAGUUAACUUCAAGUUAUCUAGAACCAGUGUUAAACAAAGUUUCCACGUUGCCACAUAACCGCGGGCACGGCUUUCUGAAAGAUUUAACCCUGCAGGGGUGCUCCAACUAGUCCAUCACAAAUUANNNNNNNNNNAUUAAACAACGUUUCCAAGUUGCCACAUAACCGCGGGCACGGCUUUCCGAAAGAUUUAACCCUGCAGGGGUGCUCCAACUAGUCCAUCACAAAUUGCCACAAGCCGCAUAGAAAUCCUCAAUCACUAAGCUCGCGAUCUCGUCGGAUCCCCUAGUGGAAGACCUCAACUCUGAGAUAACCCAAAGCAUCACCGGAAUCCCGAUGCACAAGAUAUCUCGUCAAAGGUAAAACUAAUCCAGCAAGGCCGCCCGGCGUGUCGACAAUCCCGAUAGGAGCUGUGUAUCUCGUUCUCAGGACACGAGGGAUAAGCAGAGUGUAUGGUGGCCUGAUAGAAAUCUCCCGAGUUGCCCCGGGUUGGCCCCGCAAANNNNNNNNNNCGCGUAUCUCAUUCUCAGGACACGACGGAUAAGCACAGCGUACGGUGGCGUGACAGAAAUCUCCCGAGUUGCCCCGGGUUGGCCCCGCAAAUGGCUCUAGUUUUGGACCAACACCAACAGCACUGGCCCCCCUGUAUUAUGUGAAAUUACUCCUCGGGUUCAUGACGCCCUAUGCUUUCAGUAUUAACAAGUUAUUAUGUUGGGCAAAUGUAGUACCAAUGUUGGGCCUUGCCGGACCAGCUUUAAUCUAAAACGAAUUAUCAAGGGGGUCCCCAUAACAACNNNNNNNNNNNNNNNNNNNNNNNNNNNNNNNNNNNNNNNNNNNNNNNNNNNNNNNNNNNNNNNNNNNNNNNNNNNNNNNNNNNNNNNNNNNNNNNNNNNNAUUUCCCCAUAUACCAUUACUAUCAUUUCCAUGCUAGUUUUACCGUUGCUACCGUUUAUGUCUCGUUGCCUACCACAUGUUAAAUAUCAGCCUCUCAACCAUGCCAUGUUAACCUUCAACCUGUUCGACCUAGCAAACCACUGAUUGGCCAUGUUACCGCUUGCUUAACCCUGUGCUAGCGUUGCUAGUUGCAGGUGCAUUGCUUCCAUGUGAAAGCAUGGGUUCCUUGUUAUAUCACCAUAUUAAAUGCUAUUUAAUUUAAUGCACCUAUAUACUUGGUAAAAGGUGGAAGGCUCGGCCUUUCUAGCCGGGUGUUAUGGGGACCCCCUUGAUAAUUCGUUUUAGAUUAAAGCUGGUCUAGCAAGGCCCAACUUUGGUACUACAUUUGCCUAAUAACCUAAUAAUAAUGCAUAGGGACCCGCCGGCACCCGCGGACUAAUUUAAACAACCCCCAGGCCAAUGCUCCUCAUGAGUGUUGGUCCAAAACAAAGCACUGUGCGGGGCCACCGCGAGGAAACUCGAGGUUUGGCACUUGUACGCAUCGCUUAUCCGUCGUGUCCUGAGAACGAGGUACGCGACUCCUAUCGGGAUCGUCGACACGUCGGGCGGCCUUGCUGGAUUAGUUUUACCUUUGACGAGAUAUCUUGUGCAUCGGGAUUCCGAUGAUGCUUUGGGUAAACUCAGAGUUGAGGUUUUCCACUAGGGGAUCCGACGAGAUCGCGAGCUUCGUGAUUGAGGAUUUCUAUGCGGCUUGUGGCAAUUUGUGAUGGACUAGUUGGAGCACCCCUGCAGGGUUAAACCUUUCGGAAAGCCGUGCCCGCGGUUAUGUGGCAACGUGGAAGCUUUGUUUAACACUGGUUCUAGAUAACUUGAAGUUAACUUAAUUAAAACAUGCCAACUGUGUGUGUAACCGUGACUGUCUCUUUCGUGAGUUCUCUCUCCGAUUGAGGACACGGUGGGGUUAUGUCUGACGUAGGUAGGUGUUCAGGAUCAUNNNNNNNNNNUAGUAGUUCACGUCCGCUAUGCGUAGAUCUUCCCCCUCUUAUUUCUUGUACUCGUAAGUUAGCCAACAAAUAUAUGCUUAGUCGCUGCCGCAACCUCACCACUUAACCAUACCUCACCCAUUAAGCUUUGCUAGUCUUGAUACCUUUGGAAAUGAGAUUGCUGAGUCCCCUGUGGCUCACAGAUUACUACAACACCAGUUGCAGGUUCAGGUAAAGGUCACUUGACGCGAGCACGUUGAUUGUUCAUUUGGAGUUGCUUCUUCUUCUUCUUCUUCAUCGAUCUCGGAUGGGUUCCAGGCCGGCAGCCUGGGAUAGCAAGGAUGGACGUCGUUCUUAUUUUUCUCGUUUGUUUUCGUCCAUAGUCGGACCCUGCUCUUAUUCUUGAUGAUUAUGUAAUGUACUGAUGUGACUCUGAUGUAGCUUGUGGCGAGUGUAAGCCAACUCUGUAUAUAACUCUUCUUUUCAGUACAUGUACUUGUAACGAUAUCCAUUCUUGCGACACGACGAGAUGCACUUCUAUCCAUGACGAGGCCUUCGUGCCAAAUUGAGGAUAGGGUCGCAUCUUGGGCGUGACAGCCUUGGCCAUUAGGCACUUGGCAAUGCGGUGCCCGUUGGGGGCCUUGAAGAGAGACACCUUGCUUGGAGAAGAGGAUGCAAUGGCCACCGUGGCCAUUCCCAUCGCUUCACCAGUUGUCUCAUCUUCAUCAUCCUCAUCGGAGAGGUACUCUUCUUGAGCCACCAACACCUUCUGGGGCAUAUUCUUGGGGUCGUUCUUGUUUGGGAAGGAAUUGGUCUUGUCUAUGCGAAUGAUCUUGUCACCAUUGUCUUCCCUAUGCUCAUAGGGACAAUCUGCCACAAAGUGACUCACAUUGCCACAAUUGUAGCAAGUUCUCACGCGUUGCUUUCCCUUGGACCCAUUUGAGUUGUUCUUGAGAACCUGGGCCUUGAGUUUUUCUUGUUGCCCCAAAACUGCCUUGAUGCAAGAGCCAUGUGCUCGUGGUAAGCAUACUUGGUGUCUUUAGGACAAGUUUCUUCUUCGUCUUCCUCAUUUUCCUCCAAAGCAGCUGUAACAGCCCGAUGCCGACGUUCCAGAAGAUUCCCCCCCCCUUUAUUCCGUUUCCGUCGUGUGGCUAUUUUAUUUUGUUGGUUGCAUCAUCAUGUAGUUUGCAUCAUCGCAUCAUGCAUGGCAUCAUGUCAACUGUGUUUUGUCGGUGUUGCUUGUUGCCGUGUUGUUAGGUGUUAGUGCUUUNNNNNNNNNNNNNNNNNNNNNNNNNNNNNNNNNNNNNNNNNNNNNNNNNNNNNNNNNNNNNNNNNNNNNNNNNNNNNNNNNNNNNNNNNNNNNNNNNNNNNNNNNNNNNNNNNNNNNNNNNNNNNNNNNNNNNNNNNNNNNNNNNNNNNNNNNNNNNNNNNNNNNNNAAGGACCUAAAACCUUUACUCCCCUCCUCUCCUCUCUUAUUUGUUUUUGCGGUUGCUAAGAUUUCCCGUUUUAAAACCUCUAUUUAAAAAGGGUUCGUCUCCUUCUUUUCAUUAAAAGGGUCCUUUUANNNNNNNNNNNNNNNNNNNNNNNNNNNNNNNNNNNNNNNNNNNNNNNNNNNNNNNNNNNNNNNNNNNNNNNNNNNNNNNNNNNNNNNNNNNNNNNNNNNNCAAGACAGGGUUACCCUACCACUCUGGAGCAGUACAUGACCUUGUCGACCUACGAGGUUUGUAGUAACUUGAUCCAAAGCUUCAUGAUCACUAUCAUCAGCUUCCACUUCAAUUGGUGUAGGCGCCACAGGAAUAACUUCCCGCGCCCUGCUACACACUGGUUGAAGUGACGGUUCAAUAACCUCAUCAAGUUUGCACCAUCCUCCCACUCAAUCCUUUCGAGAGAACCCUUUUCUCGAGUAAGGACCCGUUUCUAGAAACAAACACUUUGCUUCCGGAUAUGAGAUAGGAGAUAUACCCAACUGUUUUGGGUAUCCUAUGAAGAUGCAUUUAUCCGCUUUGGGUUCAAGCUUUUAAGAAACGACAACUUAGGUUUCUCCAAACCAUAGUUCAUACGGUGUCAUCUCAAUGAAAUUACGUGGUGCCCUAUUUAAAGUGAAUGCAGUUGUCUCUAAUGCCUAACCCAAAAACUAUAGUGGUAAUUCGAUAAGAGACAUCAUAGUAUGCACCAUAUCCAAUAGGGCGCGGCUAUGAAGUUCGGACACACCAUCACACUAGAGUGUUCCAGGUGGCAUUAGUUGUGAAACGUUUUCCACACUAUCUUAAUUGUGUACCAAACNNNNNNNNNNNNNNNNNNNNNNNNNNNNNNNNNNNNNNNNNNNNNNNNNNNNNNNNNNNNNNNNNNNNNNNNNNNNNNNNNNNNNNNNNNNNNNNNNNNNNNNNNNNNNNNNNNNNNNNNNNNNNNNAUCUGUACGAUCAUAUCAUAGACAUUUUAUCCUCUUGUCACGAUGAUCUUGAACUUCACUACUCUGAAAUUACUUGAACCUUUCAAUAAUUUAGACCUCAUCAAAGCCUCUGGAGGCGGAUGCUCCGCUGCUCCCACUCACUUUCUUGUAAAUACAAGAUUCUCCAACAACUUGUAUAAACCCAAAUGCCUUGAUCACCUCAUCAAAGCGCUUAUUCCAACUCCGAGAUGCUUGCACCAGUCCAUAAAUGGAUCACUGGAGCUUGCAUACUUUGUUAGCAUUCUUUGGAUCGACAAAACCUUCGNNNNNNNNNNNNNNNNNNNNNNNNNNNNNNNNNNNNNNNNNNNNNNNNNNNNNNNNNNNNNNNNNNNNNNNNNNNNNNNNNNNNNNNNNNNNNNNNNNNNGAAUUCUCGAGUAUUAGCAGUUGAGUUGUCAAUUCAACCACACCUGAAAGACUUAGUAUCUGCAGCAAAGUUUCAGUAGCAAAGUAGUGUGAUAGCAAUGGUAUCAACGGUAACAGUAGCAGCAGUGACAGCAGUAGCGGUAACAGUAGCGGUAGUGACAACAGUAGUGGUAACAGUAGCGGCAGUGACAACAGUAGCGGUAAAGUAAUGUAACAAGGACCAGUAGGAAAAUACUUGUAGGCAUUGGAUCGGUGAUGGAUAAUUAUGUCGGAUGACAUUCAUCAUGUAUCACUUAUAACAUGGGGUGAUUUGUAACUAGCUCCAGUUCGUCAAUGUAAUGUAGGCAUGUAUUCCGUAUAUAGUCAUACGUGCUUAUGGAAAAAAACUUGCAUGACAUCUAUUGUCCAUCCCUCCCGUGGCAGCGGGGUCCUAAUGGAAACUAAGGGAUAUUAAGGUCUCCUUUUAAUAGAGAACCGGAACAAAGCAUUAGCACUUAGUGAAUACAUGAACUCCUCAUACUAUGGUCAUCUCCAGGAGUGGUUUCGGCUAUUGUCACUCCGGGGUUGCUAGGUCAUAACACAUAGUAGGUGACUACAACUUGCAAGAUAGGAUCAAGAACUCACAUAUAUUGAUGAAAACAUAAUAGGUUCAAAUCUGAAAUCAUGACACUCGGGCCCUAGUGACAAGCAUUAAGCAUGGCAAACUAGUAGCAACAUCAAUCUCAUAACAUAGUGGAUACUAGGGAUCAAACUCCAUCAAAACUAACUCGAUUACAUGAUAGAUCUCAUCCAACCCAUCACCGUCUAGCAAGCCUACAAUGAGACUACUCACGAAUGGUGAAGAGCAGCAUGGAAUUGGCGAUGAAGGAUGGUUGGUGAUGACGAUGGCGACGAUUUCCCCUCUCCGGAGCCCAGAACAGACUCCAGAUCUGCCCUCCAAAGGAAGAACAGGUGGUGGCGGCGGCUCCAUGUCGUAAAACGCGAUGAACUCUUCUCUCUUAAUUUUUUCUAGGCGAGAGAGACUAUAUAGAGCUGGAGUUGGAGGCGGCGGAGCCACGAGGGCCUCACAAGCCUGCCAGGCGCGGCCAGGGGGGCCCGCGCCUCCUGGGCUUGUGGGCUCCUAGCUCCGUCCCUCCAGGUAAUUCUUGCGCCAGUAUUUUUUAUAUAUUCCACAAAAAAUCCUCGUAAAUUUCCAGAUCAUUCUGAGAACUUUUAUUUCUGCGCAAAAACAACACCACAGCGUCAGUCCGGGUUAGUUUCAUUCAAAUCAUGCAAAUUAGAGUCCAAAACAAGGGCAAAAGAGUUUGGAAAAGUAGAUAUGAUGGAGACGUAUCACCUACCACCUGUUGAAUAUCAGGCUCCCAACAUUGCCAUGAAAACCUUCAACCUAUCUACAACCUGGCAAACCACUGAUUGGAUAUGUUACCGCUUGCUUAACCAUUGGAUAGCGUUGCUAGUUGCAGGUGCAGUUGCUUCCAUGUGUUAACUUGGGUUCCUUAUUAUAUCACCCUAUUAAUGUUAUUUAAUUUAAUGCACCUAUAUACUUGGUAAAAGGUGGAAGGCUUGGCCUUUUAGCCUGGUGUUUUGUUCCACCUUUGUCGCCUUAGUUUCGGCUACCGGUGUUAUAUUCCAUAAAUGAGCGCUCCUAACAUGCUUGGGGUUCUUAUGGGGACCUACUAGAUUCUCGUUUUGGGAUAAAGCUCGUCUGGCAAGGCCCAACAUUGAUACUAUAUUUUCUCAACAUAAUAAUUCCGUUAAUAUUGAAAAACAUAGGGCGUCAUGAACCCGAGGAGUAAUUCAACAAAAUACAGGGGGCCAGUGCUACUGGUGCUGGUCCAAACUAGAGCCGUUUGCGGGGCCAACCCGGGGAAAUUCAGGAGAUGUCUAUCACGCCACCGUACGCUGUGCUUAUCCGUUGUGUCCUGAGAACGAGAUACGCGGCUCCUAUCGGGAUUGUCAACACGUCGGGCGGCCUUGAUGGGCUUGUUUUACCUUUCUCGAGCAUCUUGUGCGAGGGAUUCCGAGGAUGCUUUGGGUUAUCUCGAGGUUGAGGUGUUCCAAUAGGAACCCAAGGAGAUCAUGGGUCUCCCCACGGGUCAUUCCGUCGUAGCGUGUGGUAGUUUAUGAUGGACUAGUUGGAGCACCCCUCUAGGGUUAAAUCUUUUGGAAAGUCGUGCCCGCGGUUAUGUGGCAACGUGGAAASUUUGUUUAACAUCYGGUUCUAGAUAACUUGAAGUUAACUUAAUUAAAAUAUGCCAACUGUGUGCGUAACCGUGAUUGUCUCUUUCGUGAGUUCCUUCUCCGAUCGAGGGCACGGCGGGGUUAUGUCUGACGUAGGUAGGUGAUCAGGAUCAUUCAUUUGGUCAUCAGUAGUCACGUCCGCAACGCGUUCCCCCUCUUAUUUCUUGUACUCAUAAGUUUAGCCACCAAAUAUAUGCUUAGCCGCUGCUGCAAACUCACCACUUAACCAUACCUCACCCAUUAAGCUUUGCUAGUCUUGAUACCUUUGGAAAUGAGAUUGUUGAGUCCCCUGUGGCUCACAGAUUACUACAACACCAGUUGCAGGUACAUGUAAAGGUUACUUGACGCGAGCGCGUUGAUUGUUUAUUUGGAGUUGCUUCUUCUUCUUCUUCUUCUUCUUCAUCGAUCUAGGAUGGGUUCCAGGCCGGCAGCGUGGGAUAGCAAGGAUGGACGUCGUUCUUCUUUUUCUCGUUUGUUUUCGUCCGUAGUCGGACCCUGCUCUUCUUCAUGAUGAUUAUGUAAUGUACUGUUGUGACUCUGAUGUAGCUUGUGGCGAGUGUAAGCCAAUUCCAUAAAUAUAACUCUUCUUUUCAAUACAUGUACUUGUAAUGAUAUCCAUUUUUGCGACACGACGAGAUGCGCUUCUAUCCCUGACGAGGUCUUCGUGCCAAUUUGAGGAUAGGGUCGCAUCUUGGGCGUGACAUUGAGGCCUUGAGGGUCUAGGUAGAGAUGAUGGUGCAGAUGGGAAAGAUGGGAAGUUGAUGUGGGUUCUUGGAUUGGUAGAAAAUAAUGAUUACUAUGGGGUAAUAUGCCAAAUAAAUUUAUAGUUUAGUAUAGUCCUAUCUAAACUUCCAAAUAAAUAGACAACAUGUGCAUUUUCUUGAUUUUAAUUUUGUAUCGUACUUCGAACAUUACUAUACUUUAUUGUUAGGCUAAUUAAGCAAAAGUGGCAUUGACACCCAGAACAACAAUUUACCUUUAAGAGAAAAUUUCAGAGUUGUACGAUGUGUCAAGAAUUAUGGUUUUAUAUAAGGAUAAUACUGGGAGAGGAUAUGCAAUUAUGGCUUUGUAAGUUAUACCGACGCAUAUUUUUAAAGAUCCCUAAAGUUAUUUACCCUUUCGCUAAUUGAUCAUUUGGUUACUUGAAAGAAAUAGGUUAGGUUGUUUGCAUGGGGUUGCAGGCAUUGUUGUUUGGACCUGAGGUGAAAAGGAUAGGGCAGCAGGCCAGGAGCAACCGCAAAAGAAGCUCCAUAACAAUGAGAGGACAUCCUCAUGAAGGUAGUGUGUGUAGGUUGUGGCUGCAUGCCUGGUGUCCUCCUUGGACCGCAAGAUUGUUGGCAUGAACGGAAGGUAACAAACCAAUUCCUCACCCCAAUUACUCAUCUAUAGUUUGGUUUCUAGAUCAUUCGGUUGCUUCUUUGUGCAAUCCUUCUUAGAUUCGUACCUUGAAGAAUUUAAUUGUUGAUACCUACAAUUUUGUGGCCCGUGGUUUAGAUCUGGCACAUGCGUACAUAGCACAGCAAAACAGAUUCCUCAAUACCAAGGUGAGUACCUAGAAACCUAGAUAGAUGAUCUGGCCAUAUAGUUUGAGAACUCUAAAACUUAUUGCAUGAUUUAGUUUCUACCUAGAUCUAGAUGAUUUAGAUGCUAACAGUGAAGUAAAGAUCAACAUUGGUAUCCCUAAAAUAUACCAGGAGGGUGUGUGUGCUCAUCUAAAAUUUGAAUAAAGAUAUGAUUACUUAAAUAGUUAAUACUUAAUUCUAUCUUUUUCUGCUUUUGUAGAAUGCUAAAUGCUAUUGGGUGACAUUUCUCAUCAUGGUAUAUUAGAGGAUAUCUGUUAUCAAGCGACACCAAUGUCUCAGGUAUAGAUAGUUCUAUUUAGGGAGCACUAAAGAAAAUAGAAUGCAACAAAUCUAGGUUUGCUAGAACAUAUAUGAAUGAUGUGCAUUCUAGAAGAUACAUGGGAAUGGAGUUCUAUUAAGUUUAUUGAUGGUGUAGGAUUGUUAGGUUCAUGUAGUUUCUUGUUGUACUGAUGAUGGCGGAGAGUGUUGACCAGGAUGAAAACAUGUUCUAUCUUCAAACGGACCGGCGACAUCAAAGCUUGUUCCCUUCUUGAAUGCAUCGUCACGGCUCUCAUUGUCCGUCUUGUUGCUCCAGGGGAAACUCUGAUCCUCAGAUGGGGCGAUGGCGGUGCUCCAGUGUCCUAUCCUUCCCGAAGACACCAUCUUAGGGUCCAUUGUUAGUCGUAUGCGGCUUCAUCUUUUCUAGAUGGCUUGUUCACGAUUGAAGCCCCAUGUUGCUCUUGUAGUGCUAGGGUGGUGUUGUUGCGUCAACGCCUAUGUAUCUUGCCUUCGGUGUGUGUGUUUUGUGUGGUGGUGCGUGUUUGCACUGAAUUAUUGAUGAGUGUUGCUUUAUAUAUAAAGAGGGGUGAAAGCCUUUUUCAGUACUUUACUCCAUAUAUUAUAAUAAACCAUUGACAACUGCUGCAAGAUGAGCUUGUUUUGACCUAUUAUGCGACUUUGAAUGAUCAAUUGCAGUUCCAUUAGACAGUUCUGCCUCUCUCGCUGACACAAGAACUCUCUCUAACAGAAAAAAAGCACACAGAAAAGCAACACAGGAAGUACAUAAGAAAGAUGUGUUUUCAUUGAUAGAAGAAUGGCAAGGGCAUGCCAAUUGUAAAGGGAAUCACAAGAAAAUGGAAAAGAAAAUGAAAAACUAAAGAGAAGAAUGCUAUGAUCUCAUGAUAAGAUGCCGACCACCGACCAACAACCACAUGAGAAAACCUAUAGUAGCUCCUAAGACACAAGCAAUUUUGUUUAAAAGGCAUAAUUGGAUUAAGAGUCCAGACCAGAGAUGCUUCCUAAAAUAUUUGCAUUGUAGCCUGUAGCAACACACGAGCAUUCUACCAGUUUUCAUAGAAGAAAACAAAGAAAUUUACAAAAGAACCGAGCACCUUGCUAACAAGGGCUCGAUCAAGCACCCACUCCAACACCUACAGAAUAACGAUAAGCUACUUUCUCGCUAAACUAUCUAGACUUCCAGCACCGGCCUUCCUCCAUUCUUCAAUAUCCUCGAAGAUCUUCGUCUUAAGCUGAGAGGGAUCAGUAUGUUCCACCGCUCUUCCAAAGANNNNNNNNNNNNNNNNNNNNNNNNNNNNNNNNNNNNNNNNNNNNNNNNNNNNNNNNNNNNNNNNNNNNNNNNNNNNNNNNNNNNNNNNNNNNNNNNNNNNCGACGAACCGUAACCUAACCUAACGUAAACCGAAACCGAAACCCCUACGUAGUAGUUAGUUUCGGUUUGGGUUGUACAUCCUGACAGAUAGAAUUAGUACAACUUACCAUCUCAUAUGCUUCAGAUUUGAAGAAUAUGAUACUAAUUUCAUCAGAUCAGUAAUUUCAUCAUAACAGAGAUGUAAGGACGUGUGAAAUAUUUCUAUUUCAUCAAUCAUUAGCUUGCGUCCUAUCAAGCAUUUCCUCAGGUCUCCAGCAAAUUCUUCAAAUGAUGAUUUUCAUCUGGAGACCUGUCCUGCAGAAGUGAUAAGUUUGAUUUCUUCACCACCCACAUCUGAAGGGGUGGCAAAGCGUUCAUCAUCCUGCGAGCACCAUAUGAGAAAGGUGGCAUUGAAGCCAAUGCACUUCUCUUAACAGUAGGGGGAUUAAAGUACUCAUAUGAAUAUGCAGAAAACUGGUUUGAGGAUUUAUGAACAUAAUGAUUUGAGGAGUAACGUUCAUAUUCAUAUUCCUUGUAGUUUNNNNNNNNNNNNNNNNNNNNNNNNNNNNNNNNNNNNNNNNNNNNNNNNNNNNNNNNNNNNNNNNNNNNNNNNNNNNNNNNNNNNNNNNNNNNNNNNNNNNCGCCGUGCGGACCACGCCCACCGCGCGCUCCUCCUCUUCCGCUCCCUCCACGCCUCCCCCUCCCCGCCGCCCCCGCACUUCUCCCUCCCGGCCGCGCUCUCCGCCGCUUCCUUUCUCUCCGCGCUCCCCGAGGGCCGCCAGCUCCACGCGCUAGCGGCCAAGCUCGCGCUCGCCCCGGCCCACACCGUCGUCGCCAACUCCCUCCUCCACCUCUACGCCUCCUGCGGCCUCCCCGACGCCGCGCUCGCGCUCUUCCGCUGCAUCCCCGCCAAGUCCCUCGUCUCCUGGAACACCGCCGUCGACGCGCUCGCCAGCAACGCCGACCACCUCGGCGCGCUCGACCUCUUCAGGGAGAUGCAGCGGGACACGGGCCUCGCGCCCGACGCCUACACCCUGCAGAGCGUCCUCGGCGCGUGCGCCGGGGCCGGCGCGCUCUCGCUCGGGGUCUACGCGCACGCGCUGCUGCUGCGCGAGCUCGGGGGCCACGGCGACGUGUCCCGCGACGUGCUCAUCAACAACUCGCUCGUCGACCUUUACGGCAAGUGCGGGGCCGUCGAGCUCGCGCGGCAGGUGUUCGACCGGAUGCCCGAGCGGGACGUCACGUCGUGGAACGUGGCGAUCCUCACGCUCGCCAACCACGGAUGCGUGCGCGAGUCCGUGGAGCUGUUUGAUCGGAUGACGCGGGUGGAGAAUGUUGUGCCCAACGCAAUCACCUUCGUCGCGGUUCUAGCGCGUGCAACCAUGGCGGGAGUGGUGGGAAGGAAACGGGACGARGAAGAAUACUUCGACNNNNNNNNNNNNNNNNNNNNNNNNNNNNNNNNNNNNNNNNNNNNNNNNNNNNNNNNNNNNNNNNNNNNNNNNNNNNNNNNNNNNNNNNNNNNNNNNNNNNAUAGAAUACUUGCUGUUUUUAAUAGAAUUCUUGCUGUUUUUAUGACCAAGGUACAUCAAGUGUUCCAACGAUGAGCCCCUCCAUUCAUUAUGACCAAGGAAUCAUCAAGGAGCUUAUUGCUAAGAUGAUAUGUGUGCAUGAGUAUUCAUUUAGAAUGGUUGAACAUGAGUGGUUCAACAUUCUAAUGAAGUGCAUGAAUCCAAAUUAUAAAUCCAUUGGAAGGAAGGCAAUACGAGCCGAGUGCCUGAGGGUUUACAAGAAAGAAAAAGAGGUGCUUAAAUCUGUCCUAAGGGGUGUGAGCUCCAUAUCUCUAACCACGGAUUUAUGGACAAGCAACCAAACCUUAUGUUACAUGUGUGUGGUUGCACACUAUAUAGAUGAUAAUUGGAAGAUCCAAACCCGUGUACUUGGUUUCCUAGAGUUGGAUCCUCCUCACACUGGAAUUGUCAUUGCGGAUGCUCUCUAUGCGUGUGUGACAGAUUGGAAUAUUGAGACACAAAUUAUGUCCAUCACAGUAGACAACGCCUCAAACAAUGAUGGUGCAAUCGAAGCUUUGAAGGCCAAGUUAUUCUACCGGAGAGGUAUGCUUGCUGAUUUUGUUCCUAUGCAUGUUGUUUGUGGUCCUAUUCCUAUGCUUGCUACUUGUGCUCAUACGCUUGUUACCUCUUGUAGGUAAUGACUUUGAAGACCAAUAUUUUCAUAUCCGUUGUUGUGCACACAUCCUCAACUUGGUAGUGCAAGAUGGCAUAGAUGUCUUAGAUAAUUUGAUAAAGAGUUCGAGAGAGACGGUGAAGUACUUCAAGAGGUCACCUUCUCGUCUCCACGCUUUUGUUGACACUUGCAAAAGCAUGGGUGUCAAAGUUGGCAACCAUUUACACCUAGAUUGUCAAACAAGGUGGAGUUCAACCUAUAAGAUGAUUAGCACUGCCCGUCAAUACAAGGAAGCCUUGACCUCUCAUGCUAACUCCAAUGCCAACUAUGCUUGGGCACCGACAAACGCGGAGUGGGACAUGUAUGACCUUAUCUCUCCAUUACUUAAGAGCUUGGCCGAGGUGACAAAAGCAUUUUCAGGAAGUUUAUAUCCUACUUUGAACAUCUUCUACCCAUACAUUGUUGGUGUCAAGAUUGCAAUCAAACAUGCAAUUGAUAGUGAUAGUGAGCACUACAAGCAAAUGGGUGAAGAGAUGUUGGAUAAGUUUGACAAAUAUUGGGAAGAAAGGACAGAUUCCAUGGUGAUUGCAACCAUCUUUGAUUCACGGUAUGUUUUAAUCAACUUAUGUUCAUCAACUUGAUGUUUUAAUCAGAAUACUUGCUGUUUUAAAUACGAAUAGAAAUUCCUGGUUGCUGUUUUAAAUAGAAUAAUUGCUGUUUUUAAUAGAAUACUUGCUUGUUUUAAANAGAAUAAUUGCUUAGUUUUUAANAGAAUUACUUACGUUGUUUUUUAAUUUAAGAAUAAAUUGUCUGUUUUUAAUUAGNNNNNNNNNNNNNNNNNNNNNNNNNNNNNNNNNNNNNNNNNNNNNNNNNNNNNNNNNNNNNNNNNNNNNNNNNNNNNNNNNNNNNNNNNNNNNNNNNNNNCGUUCCGGACGUCGGGCGGCGCAGGUCGUUGUCGUCGGCGGGGUCGGAGUKGUUGGGUCGGCGGCCAGUCGGCCGGCGGCGCCCGCCCGGCCCAUACCUGGGCCCCUUUGGGCCCCAUCUGAGUUGGCGCGGGCCGGUUGUCCUGUGCGCGGCGGUGGCGCUCACUAGCGGCGGAGGUCGGGUGUUAACGGUCUUGGGUGGCGGCGGUGCGGUCUGCCCGCAUGCUGCAGCGUGUGGACGGGGGCUUCGCGGGACCGUUUGGGCCCGGCCGGGACACUAGGGGCCUGGUUUGUCCCUAUUGACGCAUCCGGACGGUUGUCGCAGUGGCAGUGGAGGCAGUCCCCCCCUUUCCGGUUGCGUGGUUGUUUCCCCCAACUCUGAUGUCCCUUCUUCUUUCGCUUGGCCUCAUGUCGGUGAUCUCUGAGCAAUGAUGAAGAUGGUUCCAAGAUCGUGGUGGCGCAUGCUGGUGGGCGGCUAGCUGGGUGGAGUUCGACGGGGAGUUUGGGGUGGUGCUGGUUGUUUGGGUCGGGAGAAAUCCCCUGGCGGCUCGUCCGCCACCAACGCGGUGACGUCUGCGGGCGCCGCCGUUCCUCCUUAAGGGGUGUCGGGUAUACCCCUUCCACACUGUCUUAUGCAUACCGGGGGAAACCCUAGUGUAAAAGCACAAUUUCUCCUAAGUAAUUUCGGUGGUUGAUGACGAUACCCUUAGCGGACUAAUCGUGGUGGCACAAGACGCUUAUAUUCCCCUCAGUAAGUGAAAGUGAAGACAAUGCUUAGCUAUUGAUUUAGGGUUGGUGGACUCGAGUCAUAGAUAAUCCCGUACUAUCAAGAGGGGAUCCGCGUUUGGAAAACUUGGGUGGAACACUAUCUCUCAUUCUUGCUCCCCAUCCCUUUUCCGGAGCAAAGGAGAUGCCGUGAAUUAGUGCGGAGGAAAUUGUAGAAGCGGUAGUACCGCUCUAGCGGUACUGCCGCCCACUAGAGUCGGGCUCUCUGCCGCUUGUUUUAUUUCUCUGGUGUCNNNNNNNNNNNNNNNNNNNNNNNNNNNNNNNNNNNNNNNNNNNNNNNNNNNNNNNNNNNNNNNNNNNNNNNNNNNNNNNNNNNNNNNNNNNNNNNNNNNNGGGGGGUUGAGGGUUAAUUUAGGGGGUUUCUCCGUGAUUGGUCGAACAACAAGUUUUCGUAAAUAUAUCCGACGCUACUACAUAUAUACAAUAUAACAUCUUUUACAAUCCCUAACAUCAUCUACCUAAGAUCCAAUCACAAAUCCACAUGGUAUUCUCCGUCUUUAGGUAUGACGUGGUCAAGAAAUAAUCCCGCCAAUUCCUCUUGAAUAGCUUGGGGAUGCUUGAUACGUCUCCAACGUAUCUAUAAUUUUUGAUGGUUUCAUGCUAUUAUCUUGUCAAACUUUGGAUGUUUUGUAUGUCUUUUAUAUMUUUUUUGGGACUAACUUMUUAACUCAGUGCCAAGUGCCAGUUCGUGUUUUUUUCGUGUUUUUGACCCUUUUCAGAGGAGAAUUUUGAAMGGAGUCCAAACGGAACAAAACUUCCGAAAAGAUUUUUCCGAAACAAAAGACGAUCGGGAGACUUGAGAACCAAGGCAGAGGGACACCAGGGACCCCACAAGCCCCCUAGCCGCGGCCAGGGGGGCCGCGCCUCCCAGGCUUGUGGGCUCCCUGGGCCUCCUCUGCCCUAGGUCUUUCGCCUAUAUAUUCCAUAAAAUCCCAGAAAAAUCAGGGGAUCAUCGAAAGUACUUUUCCGCCGCCGCAAGCUUCUAUCUCCGCAAGAUCCCAUCCGGGGCACGUUCUGGUGCCCUCCCAGAGGGGGGAUUCUGAUACGGAGGGCUUCUUCAUCAACACCAUGACCUCUUCGAUGAUGCGUGAGUAGUUCACCAUAGACCUACGGGUCCAUAGCUAGUAGCUAGAUGACUUCUUCUCUCUCUUGGAUCUUCAAUACAAAGUUCUCCAUGAUCUUCAUGGAGAUCUAUCCGAUGUAAUCUUCUUUGCAGUGUGUUUGUUGAGAUCCGAUGAAUUGUGGAUUUAUGAUCAGAUUAUCUAUGAAUCUUAUUUGAGUUUCUUCUGAUCUCUUAUAUGCAUGAUUUCAUAUCCUUGUAUUUCUCUUCGAGUUGUGGGUUUUGUUUGGCCAGCUUGAUCUAUGAUUCUUGCAAUGGGAGAAGUGAUUGGUUUUGGGUUCAUACCGUGCGGUGACCUCACCAAGUGACAGAAGGGGUAGCGAGGCACGCAUCGUGUUGUUGCCAUCAAGGGUAAAAAGAAUGGGGGUUUCAUCAUUGGUUUGAGUCUAUCCCUCUACAUCAUGUCAUCUUGCUUAAGGCGUUACUCUAUUCGUCAUGAACUCAAUACACUAGAUGCAUGCUGGAUAGCGGUCAAUGUGUGGACUAAUAGUAGUAGAUGCAGAAAGUAUCGGUCUACUUAUCUCGGACAUGAUGCCUAUAUGUAUGAUCAUUGCCUUAGAUAUCGUCAUGACUUUGCGCGGUUCUAUCAAUUGCUCGACAAUAAUUUGUUCACCCACCGUAAUAUUUGCUAUUUUGAGAGAUGCCUCUAGUGAACACUAUGGCCCCCGGGUCUACUUCACACCAUAUUUUCAGCCUUGCUCUUUUACUUCGUUGCACUUUCCGCCUUCAGAUCUCACUUUGCAAUCAAUCUUGAAGGGAUUGACAACCCCUUUAUAGCAUUGGGUGCAAGCUCUUUUGUGUUUGUGCAUGUACUCUGGACUUGACACGAUUCUCCUACUGGAUUGAUACCUUGGUUCUCAAACUGAGGGAAAUACUUACUGCUCCUGUGCUGCAUCGACCUUUCCUCUUCAAGGGAAAAACCAACGCAAGCCCAAGAGACGACAGAAGGUUUCUGUCGCCGUAGCAGAAGGAUUUUGGGUGCCGUUGCCGAGGAGGAUCAAGUCAAGAACUCAUCCAAGUAAGUGUCGCAAACUCAUCUCUUGCAUUUACUUUUUUGCCUAUCGUUUUCCUCUCCCCCACUUUUGAAAAACAAAAAUUUACAAAAUAUUUGCCCUUUUCUUCGUUUGCCUUUUUCGUUCGCCCUCUUCUCUCGCUUGCUUCCUGUUCGCUUGUGUGGGAUAGUCUACCUGUACUCAUGGCUAGACCCACCGCUCCGAACGAUACUCCCGAGAACGAAGUUCUCAAUUUCAAGCAAAAUGAGGAAGAAAACUUAAAGGACGCUUGGUAUAGGAUUUGCAAUUCUCAGAGUAGAUCUACUCGUAAGCAGUCUACUACCGUCCUGCUUCGCAGUUUUUAUGUGGGUAUUUCUCCUUGGAAUAGGUAUAUUCUUGACACCAUCGUAGGCGGAAAUUUCUUGGGUAGCCAUACCGUUGAUUCUUACGGAGCUGUAAUAAAUUUGGUAGGCUCACCCCCACUCAUGGUUAAUGGAACUACCUUAACUCUGGAACAUGUGAUGCGUAGGCUGGACGUUAUUGAAAAUAAAGUUGCUACGAUCGAACUCAUUGAGAAUUUGGAUAAAAAGAUCCACAAUCAAAUCAUUCAGUACGGAUCCAAGGUGGGAAUGGUUUUGAAAAAUUUAAAGAAGAAGGAACCCACAGUUAACGAAAAACUAGGUCAUGAUUCCGCUAGGAUUCGCAAACUAGAGGAUGUUAUAACCAACUUGGGUUCCGCUUUUGUCGCUGUGCAGAAUACUCCAAACUUUGCCCACAACAAGGCCACCAAGUCUAUUUUUGUUCCUAAAAAUAGUGGUGAAUCAUCUAGUAAGAAAGAUGAAGACCUUAAGAUGAUGAGUGAUCACGCUACUUAUGGUUGGAGCACCAAAGACGACGAUACGUGAUUCUAUCGCUUUAUGCCUAGCUAAGGGCGUUAAACAAUAGCGCUUGUUGGGAGGCAACCCAACGAAUUUAUCUUUUUCUUUCUGUUUUGUUGCGUCUACACCAUCAUAAUUCUGUUAUGAUAGUGUCUUUUGUGUUUCUUUUUGUGUUUGAGCCAAGAAAAACCUUUAUGACUAGUCUUGGUGAUGGUUGUUUGAUCCUACUGGAAAAAGAAUAGAAACUUUUCGCUCACGAGAUUAUUUUUUAUUUUUAUUCAGAAAGAUAUUUUGAGUUGAUUCUUUUUGCUUCUGGUUGAUAUGCCUUUUUCCCAGGCAGUCGUAAUUUUUAGAAUUUUUGAGGUACCAGAAGUAUACGAAGUAUGCAUAUUGCUACAGACUGGUCUAUUUUUGACAGAUUCUGUUUUUGUUGAGUUGGUUGCUUGUUUUGAUGAAACUAUGGAUAGUAUCGGGGGGUACUAGCCAUGGAAAAGUGAGAAUACGGUAAUCUGACACCAAUAUAAAUAGAAAUCAAGAUUUCUACAGUACCUAAAGAAGUGGUAGUUUGUUUUCUUGUGCUAAUGAUAUCACGAGUUUCUGUUUAAGUUUUGUGUUGUGAAGUUUUCAAGUUUUGGGUGAUAUUCUCAUGGACAAAGGGAUAAAGAGUGGAAAGAUCUCAAGCUUGGGGAUGCCCAAGGCAUCCCAAGCCAAAUUCAAGGACACCAAAAAGCCUAAGCUUGGGUAUGCCUCGGGAAGGCAUCCCCUCUUUCGUCUUCAAUCCAUCGGUAACAUUACUUGGAGCUAUAUUUUUAUUCACCACAUGAUAUGUGUUUUGCUUGAAGCGUCUUGUAUCGUAGGAGUCUUUUCUUUUUCUUUGUGACACAAUCAUCCUUGCUGCACACCUUUUGAGAGAGACAUGCACUCAUCGUGAUUUUUCUAGAAUGCUCAUCGUGCUUCACUUAUAUCUUUUGAGCUAGAUAAUUUUGCUCUAUAUGCUUCACUUAGAUCUUUUAGAGCACGGCGGUGCGUGACUUGGUAGUUGGCGUGUGCUAUGAAAGUAGUCCCAAAGGUGAUAGGUACCAAAAAAGAGGAUACAAAAACCUCCAUCUUCAUGUGCAUUGAGUAGAAAGAAAAGUUUUGAUUCCUCUCAAUUAGUUUUGAGACGUGGAUUUGGUAAUAUUAAGAGUUAUGUUAGUAGGGUGUUGUGAAUCUAGAAAUACUUGUGUUGAAGCUAGUGAUUCCCGUAACAUGCACGUAUGGUGAACCGCUAUGUUAGGAAGUCGGAGCAUAAUUGAUCUAUUGAUUGUCAUCCUUUGCAUUGAGGUCGGGACCGCGCGAUGGUUUACACCUACCAACCCUUCCCCUAGGAGUAUGCGUUUAGCACUUUGUUUCGAUUACUAACAAAAACUUUCGCAACAAGUAUGUGAAUUCUUCAUGACUAAUGUGAUUCCAUGGUAUAGAUGCACUUUCACCUUCCACCAUUUCUAGCCUCUCUAGUGCCGCACAACUUUCGCCAACGCACAAACCCACCAUAUGCCUUCCUCAAAACAGCCACCAUACCUACCUACUAUGGCAUUUACAUAGCCAUUCCGAGAUAUAUUGCCAUGCAACUCCCACCGUUCAGUCUCAUGACUUGUGCCGUCACUCUCAUAUUGCCAUUGCAUGAUCGUAAGAUAGCUAGCGAGAUGUUUCAACGUCAUACACCAAGCUAGAUCGUUGCACAUCCCGGUACACUGCCGGAGGCAUUUCCUAUAGAGUCAUCAUCGUUGUGAGCUUUGAGCUGUGAGUAAAUAAAAGUGUGAUGAUCAUCAUUAUUAGAGCAUUGUCCCAUGUGAGGAAAAAAAGAGAGGACAAAGAGACCAAACAAAAAAAGAGAGGCCAAAGAGCCCAAAUAAAAAUAAAUAGAGAAGGGACAAUGCUACUAUCUCUUUCCACACUUGUGCUUCAUAAUAGCACCAUGUUCUUCAUGAUUGAGAGCCUCUUGUUUCGCCACCACCAUAUGCUAGUGGGAAUCUUUAUUAUAUAACUUGGCUUGUAUAUUCCAAGGAUGGGCUUCCUCAAAUUGCCCUAGGUCUUCGUGAGCAAGCAAGUUGGAUGCACACCCACUAGUUCUCCAUUUGAGCUUUCACAUACUUAUAGCUCUAGUGCAUCAUUUGUAUGGCAAUCCCUACUCAUUCAUAUUGAUAUCUAUUAAUGAGCAUCCCCAUAGCCCUUUGAUUCGCCGAGUCAAUGUGACCAUCUCCUCCUUUUUGUAUCACAACCACCACCACACUCUAUUCCACCUAUAGUGCUAUAUCCAUGGCUCACGCUCAUGUAUUGCGUGAUAGUUAUAAAAGGUUUGAUGGAGCAUAGCCAGAUUAUAUGAUUUUGUAGGGAUAACUUUCUUUGGCCUUGUUAUUUCGAAGUUCAUGAUUACCUUGCUAGUUUGCUUGAAGUAUUAUUGUUUUCAUGUCAAUGGCAAACUAUUGUUUUUAAUCUUACGGAUCUGAACAUUCAUGUCACAUGAAAGAAGUUACAAAGGACAACUAUGCUAGGUAGCAUUCCACAUCAAAAAUUCAGUCUUUAUCACUUCCCUACUCGAGGACGAGCAGGAGUUAAGCUUGGGGAUGCUUGAUACGUCUCCAACGUAUCUAUAAUUUUUGAUGGUUUCAUGCUAUUAUCUUGUCAAACUUUGGAUGUUUUGUAUGUCUUUUAUAUAUUUUUUGGGACUAACUUAUUAACUCAGUGCCAAGUGCCAGUUCGUGUUUUUUUUCGUGUUUUUGACCCUUUUCAGAGGAGAAUUUUGAAAGGAGUCCAAACGGAAUAAAACUUCUGAAAAGAUUUUUUCCGAAACAGAAGACGAUCGGGAGACUUGAGAACCAAGGUAGAGGGACAUCAGGGACCCCACAAGCCCCCUAGCCGCAGCCAGGGGGGCCCGUGACUCCCAGGCUUGUGGGAUCCCUGGACCUCCUCUGCCCUAGGUAUUUCGCCUAUAUAUUCCCAAAAAUCCCAAGAAAAAAUCAGGAGAUCAUACGAAAGUACUUUUCCGCCGCCGCAAGCUUGCAUGCNNNNNNNNNNNNNNNNNNNNNNNNNNNNNNNNNNNNNNNNNNNNNNNNNNNNNNNNNNNNNNNNNNNNNNNNNNNNNNNNNNNNNNNNNNNNNNNNNNNNUUAAUUUUCUAUUAUUAUUUUCUAGGUUGUUUUACUACUUGUGAUAGAACGAUUUAUAAUAUAUCAUGAUUCUUUUUAAGGUUUAAAAGUAAAAGUCCMCUGUGGUCGGUUKUUUUUUUUUUGCCAAGUCAGCUCUUGACUAGCGAGGUCUACUGGUAGAAAGCAUACUCAAAACACUCUAAUCCACCUAUUAGAAGUUUACGCAAAAUAAUAAUAAUAAUGUAGACAUGGUGUCUUUUACCUAAUUUAUGUAGAAGUGUGUUUUCAAGGAACCUACACAAUUAACUGUAGAAAACUCGGCUGGAAACCAACGAUGGCCGAAAUAAACCAAGACAAGAUUGCAAUCUGUGUAUGUGGGCGAGCAAGCAAGUCCAUCGCAUGGAUGGGAGGUUAUCCACAUGGGAGGAUAAGAUAUGCCAUGCGGCGGCACCGCAGUGGCUGGCACAAAUCACCCACUUGGCUGGAGAUAGAUAAUCCGCCUAUCUCCGCUCGCCAUCCCGACCAAGGCUAUUUCGCCUUACACCGACCUCGCCAUCGACUUACAUACUUUUGCCGGCCGGAGCCACACGACCACAAGGAAGGAGCGAGCUAGCUAGCACCCACAAACAGCACCUGCUGCCGUCCCGAUGGCGAGCACCAACAUGGCGUCGGCCACCUCCAGAUUCAUGCUGGCGGCGGGCAUCCCCAGCGGCGCCAACGGCGGCGUGAGNNNNNNNN